UGAUAUGUUGAUCAUAAAUAAAUUAGGCUAAAUUACAUAAAAUUUUUCUGUCAAAAUUCGAUUUUUUAUUUUUCCCCUCUAUCAUUUAAAAAUCUACACUUUGCCUCCUUAUAAAAUAAAAAAUGAUCACAGAGGAUACGGUGUAAAUUGUGAUGAUAAAAUAACUAUUUUGCCCCUCAUCAUUUUUGGCAACAGGAGAGAAAGCUGAGGGUAUUUUUGGCAUAAAAAAUAUAAUAAUAUUUUAUAAACGGAACUCUAACGAAUCACUAACGGUAGAGGGUGAAGUGAACAUUUUUAUCUUACAAUGGAGUGAAGUGUAGCUUUUUAAAUGACAGGAGAAAAAGUAAAAAAUUGAGUUUUGACAGAAAAUUUUUUUAUAAUUUAGCCAAUAAAUUAUUAUGAUAAGAUGGUUCUUGUAAAUCAUUUCUUUUUGGUUCUUAUAUGUAUAUAUUCUCAAGUUAUUUGAUGUAGCUUGUGCUUUUACCAUGGAUUGCACACUCAUUGCUUUAUAUGUAAUGUUAUUUAAGUAGAUAAGUUUCAUUUUUUAUUUCAAUUUAUUAUGAACUUUGACCAGCAAUGCCUCCGUGCUAUGAAUCGAGAAUUUAAGUACAGUGACAUAGAGCUGUGCCAAAAAUUUACUGGUUCGUGCCUUGUCGAUUAAUGGUUUUAUCAAUUUUUUUUUGUAGUUUAUUAAAAUAACUGUUUAUUAAUUUAAAAAAAAAAAUUAAGUCGCGUCAUUAGCUCGGAAGUCGUAUUGUGCAACUAAUUUAUUGGCACGAUAUGUUACGAUGGUUAUUUAAUUAUUGGAGAUAACCACUUAAAUCUUUAAUAUGGGAAUAAAAAUUUUUAUACAGUGAUUCGAACCUCUGACUUAUACUCUGGCUUAAGCCACUGAGUUGGUUUAGCCCGAGUUUAAACCGAGUCGACUCGCAUAUUCCUCCCACUCUCUACUCUCUAGUCUCUACUGUGUUCGGGGGAGGCAUCUCAGCCUCCUCCUCUAUUCUCACCUAACCUUGCUCAUAAUAAUAAGGAAAAACUUCAAAAUACCUCCAUGUGGUUUCGUAGUUUUUCACUUUGCCUCCCAGUGAUUUAAAAUGUAUCAAAUUGCCCUCCUGUGGUUUCGUUUUUAUCUUUUCGGUAGUUUUGUCGUUAAUAUUUUAUUAAAUUAUAUACAAAAAACUUCAGAUACCCAUCUAGAUUUAUUAAAUAUUCACUUUAGUACCCUUUAAUUUUAAUUUUAUCAUUGAUUUAAGAAAAAAAAUAAUAAAAUUGAUAAGAAAAAGAGAAAAAAGAAAUCACAGGGGGGGCAAAUUAAUGCAUUUUAAACCACAGGGGGGCAAAGUGAAAAACUAUGAAACCACAUGGGGGGUUUUUGAAGUUUUCCCUAAUAAUAAUAAACGAAAUUUAUUUAUGGUUUUGUAUGUUUAAUAUUUAAAAAUAUUAAAAUAUUGUUGUUUUAACUGUUUAGGUUUUAUAAAAAAUAAAAAUAAAUUUUGAAAAUGACCCUACCAAAUAUGAUGCGAUAAUACAUCUUAAAUACAAUAAAACACAAUAUAAAAUUACUGAAAGAAGUUCGCAAUCAAUAUGAUCAUUGUAUUUUGUAAUGAACCGAAAUGAUACAAAUAAACAAAAGAAGUUAAUAUUCUAUGUUUUUGAAUAAUCCUUUGAAGCAAAAAUAGCUUAUUUUUCUACAAUCGAUCAAUUAGAAGUUGCAUAUGAUUAUUAUCAUGAAUAUCUAAUUAUACUUCUUAAUUAUAGUAGACAACUCCAAAUUAUUAUUCUCUGCUAUAUUAAAAUAAGAUAUUCACGCGUUUAAAACAAACAUAAAAGGAUAAUAUCAAAUUCAGAUGUUAAAAAUCUCUAAUAUCUAUAAUUCCGUAGAAUAUUUUAUUUUAUCUAUAAAUUAAUUUAUUUUAUUUUGAAAAAAAAAACUUAAACGUUGAACAUGAUAUAAAUAAUUUAUAUGAAAUAAUAAUUAUUAUCAUUAUUAUAAUAUUAUUAUCAAGCGGGAAAUUUUUUAUUUUAUUAUUAAUAUCCGAACAAGAUAUACAUACAUCAAAACAAGUACAUCUGAUCAAAAUAGAUAAUAAUAAUAACAAAUAUUUAAAUUUUAAAAAUUAUAUAAAUUGGUUAUCCCCACCGGGGGUGGCCAUAAUCCGUAAUAAUACUAUUACUAUUCCAUCAAAAUUUCAAAUAUCACCCCUAAUUUUGCACUUUUUCACUUUAGUAUCUUAUAUUUUAAAAUAUAUCACUUUAGUAUCUGUGAUUUUUUUUUCUUUUUGUUAUUUUCUCUACUAAUUUUUUUAAUUAAAUCAGUGACAAAGUUAAAAUUAAAGAAUAUUAAAGUGAAUAUUUGAUAAAUUAUAGGUGGGAUAUUUGAAAAUUUUUGUAUAUGAUUUAACAAAAAGUUAACAAAAGGGCUGAUAAAAAAAAAAAAUAAAACCAUAUGUACUAAAUUGAUACACUUUAAAUUGUAAGGUACUAAAGUAACUAAGUGAGAAAUUACAGGGGUUAUUUGAAGUUUACCCUUCCAUCGAUAUAUAUCUAUCACCCCAUCAUCACCUCUCUCUCUCUCUCCUCUUCUCUCUCUCUCUCUCUCUCUCUCUCUCUCUCAUCGUUCCCAUCGCCUCUUUCGCUCGCUCUCUCUCACGCUCCGCUCUCGAGCGAUCCCCAACGAGGAAGGGGGGGGGCGAGGAGGAGACCCCGAUCGAGCGCCAUGGGGGUCGCCAUGGACGUGUCGGCUCUCAAUUUGAAGACCGCGGGGCUCGUCCUCGGCGCGGGGAAGAAGGUCGACCGGGUGGUCGAUGUUAGGGUUCCGAUCGUGGGGUGGAAGGGGAUGGGGAUGGGGAGGGCGAGGGCGAGGUCGUUGGUGGUGGUGAGCGCGGCGGGGAAGAAGAAGAACCACGAUAACCCUUCUUCUUCGGGUAAAUUCUCCACCUACCUUUUCUUCCCCCGUAAAUUCGAGGUUACGAUUGUAGUUGUAUUCGGAAAAUUUUUGAUUUUGAUGUAGGUUUUGACGUUCUGUUGAUUGAGAUGUGAAUUGGGUUUAAUCCGGGUAUGAUUAGAAGAAAAGGGAAGUAAUUUUGCUUCUAUAGUGUGCUUUUUUUUAUAGGAUUAGUUAAAAGAUCAAUUUUUAUGUAUAAUUUUGAUAGUAUUUGUUUUGAAUAUUAGGUAGAUCUUAUCACGAUCGUAUCUAUUUUGACAUUGUUAAAAAAAAAAAAAAAGGCUCCCCAAUUUGGUAAAAUAUGGUUCUUAUUAGCAGAUUAAUCUUGUUUCUUUCUUAUAAUUAAUUAUAAUUGUAAACUUAUACUUGUAAAAAGCUCCGAGUACUCUCUUUUCGCUGACCGUGUUCAUGCAAUUUUAUGAUUGUGGGAUGAUAAAAACCUGUGGAGUGCAAUUACCUCUUCUGUGUUAUAGCUUUGUAGAUUUUGCUAGUGUUGUUCACGAUGUGAGAUGAUAAGAUGCAUAGAGUUUACUAGCCAAACACAAAAAUUAUUUCCAUUUGCAGGUAAUGGUGAUCCAUCUAUUCCGGAGGGAGAUGGCGCGGAUGAGACAAAUCCAGCGCUCGACAAAUCAAAGCCUACUGACUCCGCACACAAGUCCGGUCACACCUUAUCUGACUGGCGAGAUUUCAGGGCAAACCUUAUUUAUAGAUGGAAGGUGAAUUUCUGUCCAAAUUAUUUCUGAGUUGCUAUGUGGAUACUAGAUAGGCUUCUAAACUUGCGCAUGUUACGACUCUAUGCUCUCUGUUCGUAUUUACAAAUCAUGCUUUAAUCAUAAGCUGUGAGUAUUAUGGUUGGCACAUUUUCUGUGUGCUUUAUGGAUGUAUGUAUCCGUUGUGGCUAGCUUUACAAAUUGGAUAAAAAAACUAAAUGUUGGUUCCUAAAAUUAGCAAUACGAUUUCCUAACACUUGUAAGCAUUUAGCAAGAAAGGCAACCAAGUCUUAGAGUAGUCAUUUAAUCACUUCAUUAUCUGUCCCGAUUUGCAUGGUCUAUGGAGGACUUGUCUAAUAAUUGGUCGAUUCAGGGAGUGCAUAUGAUGCCUCUUAUCCUCUUUGAUUUUACGUGUAAACGUGUUGGUGAGAUGGUUAUCUAUUUAUUUAGAUUGAAGUAACAUAAGCGGAAAAAAAAUUAUAGAUUAGGGACAUUUGCUGUAUAUAUUAUGUAGCAUUUGUUAGUUGCCAUGUGGCCUAUGCAUGUGAAUUAUUUUGCAGCAUCUGUAUUCUAAGUGAUUGCAGUGGCUCUCCUGCUCCAAAACAUUUACUAAAUAAUCCAUUAGGCAUUGUUUGAUUAUUCUGUUUUUAGUUUUUCUGCAAAUUCUUUGGGAUAUAAGUUAGGGAUGGACCUCUUUAGUUUUGUUAUAUUACAUUAUCUAGGGUGCCUUAUUUAUGAGCAGAAAACAGAAAUGUAGUUGUAACCUUUCUUUUUUUUGUUUGUGUUUUUUGAAAUGAUAAAGCUUGCAGGCUAACCAACAAUUACAAAAAUGAAGAAGCUCAUCCCUUUGUGGCUUUGUCGUAAAGAGCUUGUAAACAGAACAAAGAUGCCCUUAGUUUUGUCUCUGGUAAUUUCUUAUAAUUUUGGAGAGUUUAACUUCUCUGUAUUUACUCAGGAUGAUUUGCUUGAUUCUGAAGCUCCCACCAAGGACAAAGCCUUGAACGAGCCUACCCAACAUCUAGGUCUCAAGUGGGCUCAUCCUAUUUCGUUCCCGGAAACUGGAUGCGUGUUAGUCGCCACCGAGAAGCUCGACGGCGUCAGCAGCUUCGAGCGAACCGUCGUCCUUCUCCUCCGAUUAGGCUCUCAAAGUCUGCGAGAGGGCCCUUUCGGAGUCAUCCUCAACCGCCCUCUAAACAAGAGAAUCAAGCACAUGAAACCCUCCAACGCCGACCUAGCUACCACCUUCGCGGAUUGCCCCCUCUUCUUCGGCGGCCCCCUCGACGCGAGCAUGUUCUUACUGAAGACGGGCGAAAACUCGCCCAAAACACCGGGCUUCGAGAAAGUCGUCUCAGGAAUCUCUUUCGGCGCGAGGAAUAGCUUGGAUGAAGCCGCCGCGCUCGUGAAGAAGGGUGUGCUGAGGCCGCAGGAUUUCAGGUUCUUCGUGGGCUAUGCGGGGUGGCAGUUUGAUCAGCUGUUAGGGGAGAUCGCGAACGAUUACUGGGUGGUCGCCGCGUGCAGCUCACAUUUGAUCAGUGGGGCAGCGGCCGAUUCGUCGGUGGACUUGUGGGAGGAGAUUUUGCAGCUGAUGGGUGGGCAAUAUUCGGAAUUGAGCCGGAAACCAAAGCAAGAUAGCUCUUGAAGAGUUCUAAGGGUAGGAUUUAUGGUCAUUUGUACAGAGAAGUAAUUUAAACUGAACAUUAUGGUAAUGAUUUGUCUCUCUUUUUCUCUUUUCUUUUGAUUUAGAAAUGAACUUCCAGUUUCAUGUAUUUAAUUACUGAAUUAGUUUUCGUGAUAUAAGGGAUUUUCUUAGUAAAGGGGUAUGAAGAUCUCAUUGGUGUCAUAUUGUGAUGAUAUUUGGUUUCCAUGAAAAAUUCUUUGUGGGAUUAGAAAGUGAGAUAAUAUUUAUGGUUUGAGUUAAAUGAUAAACAAUAUUGGCCCUCAAUUAUUAAUCUUAUUUGUCUUUCUUUUUACUGAUUUGGAUUUUAAUUAUGGUAUUGAAUUAGAAUGGCUUUUCCUUUUCCCUGUAAUAUGUUGAGUUGGCUUGAUAGUGUUGUUGUAUGAUUGUAUUAGCUUCUGAGUGGCAAAGGGGUUAGCGGUUCACAUGAAACCUGUCAUUUUACAGAUGAUUGGGAAUGUAGAACCCAGGAAUUUGGUUGCUUUUAGAACUAAAAUUGAUUCGAAAGAUCAUUUUGAUCUGGUUUUGAAUAAUUCUAGACUAUACCUUGCACUCCCUCUCUCAUUGGCAUGCCUUCAUUGAAGUAGCACUAACACAUUGGAUGAAAAGAAGACACAAACUAAUAUUUUCCUAGUGCCAAAGUGGCAUUAUUUUUUCAUAGUUUGUUCAAACUGCUUGAGAUUGAAGGCUCUUGCUAUUGCUGUUAAUAUGCAGACUCAUUCAAUUAAAAAAGAAAAACUGCAGAAUCAUCUUUAUUUCUCAAUAAAAAGAAGUAAAUUAAACUCAUAAUUGAUGUUGUCAGGCAAGAUCAAAAUUUUUAGAGUUUUCAAAAAAAAAAAACAAAAAAAGAAAAGUUAACUUCAUCCUUACCUACCUACAGACUCUAGUGAGAAAUUUAAAAAAAAACAGAAAAAAAAAGAAAGGAGAUUUCGUAUAUCAAAUGGGCACAUUAUUCCACUGAUAUAGGACAAGGCAUCAUCAAGGAGCAAUCCACCCCAAAAACUCAUUUAAGAGGGUAUAGAGCAAACACAAGUACCAGUAUGUUAGUACAAAAUAAAAAUUUAUAAGAGGGUAACAACUUCACUUUUUAUGUUUCGAAAGAGAAUAGUGUUUUUUAUCCCACAGAAAAUCGAGGGUUACAACAACAUACAUACAUUUACUAAAUAAAUAAAUGAAUUGAUACAGCCAAGGCCUAAGCAAAAUCAGGCUAUAUAUAUACUUCCAGUAUAGUUCUACCUCAUUUGGUAUCACGAAGAUGGGCCGGUUUAAAUUACCGGAUCCCUCUUACUGUUGUCUCAACUCGAAAAGUAGAUGAAAGGAUCCUAAAAAGCCCAUCAGGAUUAUCCGCAUGAACCUGAGAACCGAAGUAGUAAAAGGUGAAGUUACAUGCCAUGUUAACUAUUAAGUAUUAGGUAAUUAGUAAAUAACAAUAUAUAAAUAAACACUUAUUAUGUAUAUGUAAAGUAAUCGUGCCGUUAGGCUUAUCUCUAAUUUAAUAAACAGCAAAAAUUCCUAGUAAACUAUUUUAGAAAAUGGACAACUUCGAAUUUUGACAGCAAAAAAAUGCAAUGUGUAAAUGCUGUAAUGUACGCAGAAGCCUCAGAUUGGAACUUUUGUUAUUCGAACCCAGAAACUAAAUUUAGCUUCAGCCACAGCACUAACGGUAUAUUAUUUGUUUCCUUAGCUUCUGCUCUCAGAGUAAAACAAUUCAAAACCCCUAGAUUAUCCAAUAACCCGCAUUGGAAAAUGGGAACUACACUUUAUAAUAAUUAGUUUAUAUAAUACCGUAAUGGAUGUUAGGCGUUAGAUAGUAUUACCCAGUGCCCAGCAUCUUCGAGGACAUGCAUCUGAACUCCUGCCCCCUCAUCCGCAGCCAACUCCUCUGCUGCAUGAAUUCUCUGAAGAUCUUCAAGCGCCCAUCUAUGUAAACUUCUCUCAGCUUUCAAAAAAUUUACAUGGACCCCUCGUGGCACAUUCUCCACAAUUUUCCUACACAAAUCGAAUUGACAAUUACGAAGAGAACCAAUAGUUUUAAGAGAUAUCUACAUAUAAAUGUAUUCAGAUAUGCCCUUCAAAACUUCUCUGAACAAAACCAGCUUUUUGCAUGAAUUGUUGGCACUGCUUAUAUUUGUGAAAAUUUUGCAAGUUCGAAGGGUGUAUAUGGAUAUUCAGGAAUAAAGAAUUACACGUAUGUUUAAUUAGUACCAUAAGUUAGUUUCCUCAUAGGACUUGUACAUCUCGGCAAUGCCGUUUAGGUCAAAAACCCAUGAGAAGCUUGAAGAGGACGAUGGGCUGGGCUGACUUGUCUGCCGGAGAUUUGUGACCACCCACUGAGAGUAGAAUUGAACAGAAAUGGCAGAAAACAAGAAUACCAUUAGAUAUAAAGAGAAAAUUGUAGUAUUAGCAAAAUAUAACAAAUUUUAAGAAUCUACUAUAGAACAUGAUUUAGUUCAACAAAUCAUGAUGUAUUUUUACAUUUAGUAAGCGGUUAUACAAUUCAAGGUCAUUUGCCAGUUUUGGUUCAUUUCCUAAUAGUUGGCGUAGGAAAGAAUCACAGAAAUCCAACACCUUGUUUCAUGGAUUGAGGAACGUAUUUGAAGAAGAUAAGUUCAAUUUGGUUGAUUCACUGGCGAAGGGCAGAAACCCAACUAAAUUUCACAAAUGGGCCAUAAAACUAGUUCAAAAUUUUCAAUUUCAAUUCAAGAUCAUUGUAACAUGCCUGCUACAGUAUGAUAAGAUGAAAUGUGCUUAAAAUUUCUCAGUCAGUUAGCAAAUUAUGCAACAUAACAUAGUAUAUAUGAGUUUAGAUACUUUAUCAUAAAAGACGCAGCGUAGCAACUAAUUUUUCAGUUCAGAAGUGAAAAAUUGAAAUGAGAAGAGCUUUUGCAUUGAGGAUAACCUCUCAUAAAUAGAAUCAAGAAUACCAUUAAAGGUGGUAGCAACUAUAGAUAUCUUUUUAGAAUGAUUACAAAAAAGGCUCAUGUUAUAUAUCAAAUUCUCAACAUACCCUAGCAACAUCUAGAGAAAAUCCUUCUCGAACAAGAGCAUCAACUAUUUCCUGCUUUGAAGACACCUGCACAACAUGAAAGACGAACCCAACUCCAUAAAAACAAAACAAUCCUAGAACGUACAUUAACAUGAAAUUAUUAAAAUAUAGAUCAAUGCAUGAAAAAUAGAAGCCUACCUGGUUUGGUAGCCUACUUAGAAAAGCAAUUAGUUCACCAGGGUGAUCUUCACCAUCUCCACCAGCACGAACUUUCCCAGGAGUUGCAUCAAGAACCCAUACCUUCAGAAUAUUGAAAGUAAAAGAUGUCAAAACAAAACCUUUUCAAAAUAAAGAAAAAUAAAUAAAAAGAUGUUACAAAUAAAGUAAGCAGCAAUAUGCUAUUCAAAAAGAAAAUUAUACAUGUUCUAAAACUCUGCACCGUAAAUUGUAAACAUACCCUAACAGGUCGAGCAAGAGGCUUCGCAGCUUGUUCUACCAUACUUAAGGCCACUGAGGAAGAAAUAUUAUUAAUGCAGAAAAUUAUGGUUAAUCAACAACUAAAAUAUGUUCCGAAGUAUAUAUAUAUAUACACACACACACACUAUCAAGACCAAGCAUAUUAAGCAGAUCAAGUACCUUUUCCGCCAAAACUAUGACCAACUAAGACUCGAGGAGUAACUCUAAGUUGUGCCACCUGGUUCAGAAAGAAAAAAAUGUCAAUUAAUAUGCAUAAAAUUACAAGAAAAAAUAAAAAAAGAACUGGUUUGCAAACUACUGUUAUUUUCAUCUUAUGCUAUUAUUUCAAUAUACUUAUUAAGUCUUGCAAAUGAAUCUACAAUAUAAUACAUGUAUAUUUACAUGAUUCUAGAUAUAUGGCAUGUCCUCUGGCUUGCGGAGAAACUUCUUCAUUCAUAUGGCAAAAACUAAUAAAAAUACAUUUAAUGAAGAGAUUGCAAGUAAAGAUAUAAAAGCACGCACAAGCUUUAGAACAUCAAGAGCAGCUGAAGCAACAGUAUUCGGUCCAUUCUUUUUAAUUGAUGCUGAAUCUCCAUGGCAACGCAGAUCAACUAAAAGGAACUGCAAGAAACAAUAUCAGAAAACCACGAGGCAUAGAUACAAGUUCUGACAAUAUAAGCUAUCUUCUUCUAUUCUGGCACCAAUUAUGUAGGCUUGAAGUCAGGUUAUAGUUUCCUCAGACUUUCCACUAAGUUUUUCAAUUUCAGCUUGUGCAGAUAGCAGAAGCACCUUCAAGGGACUAGGGAAAUGUAGAAUGUUCAUCAAGCAAUAAGUUAGUACCUGCCACAUUGGAAAUUCCUGAGCCAGUCUCCUUGCAAAAGACCCUGAGGAAAUUUUAUGAUAACAAAAAAGAAUAAGGCCAAUAAAUCAAACAGGUACUAAAUUUGACAAGCUAACCAAAUCUAUUUAAUAGUCUUCUUCACCGAUCAAGAUCAAAUGGCAAAUUCUAGAUUAUUGGCAUGUGGUCAAAAGAUCUUACAAAGAACCGGAAGUAGCAUAUAAUUGGAAGGAAGUGACAAAGGCUAAAAAUUUAAGCAACUGUCUCGAUGCUUAAAAAGCCAGAAUAAUGAACUUACCCCAAUUCUUCCUGCAGCCUAGAAUCCCAUGCAGGAGAACGGCAGUUGGCGGAUCAGGUACUGACUUGUCCCUGAAACAGUUCCAUUGGACCUAUAUGUAUAAAAAAGGUGAAGAUAAUUUUACUGAAAUCUCAGUAGGUUCUUGACUCAAUAAGUUACUACAAUGCCAAUCUAAGAGCUGUGAACACAUGAUUAUUCAAUUAGUAUCGACAAAGUGAAGACAAAGUCUUGUGAAAACAAGAAGUCCUAGGACAUAAUGAACACUUACAAGGUUUCCCUGAACCAACUCAUAAGCCUGGAAAAAAUGAGAAUUAAAACUCAAUUAGAUAAAUGUAACAAGGAAGUGACACUACUAGAACCAUAUAUUGGUCAAACAUCUAAUGCAGUUCAACUAUUAUGUGAAAGUCAAUUACCAGCACUCCCCCAGGCUUGGAGACAUUUGGUUGCCGAACAAUUCUUUCAUCGACCAAAGCCAUUCGAGUAUGUAAACCAGGACGCCUCAGAGCAAGCUUCAUGUUUUGAUUACUUAAAAUUAAUCGGCCAUUCCAGCAUACAUUUUCCUAAAACCAACCACAACAUAUGAAGAAAUUCAAAAGAGAUUCCUAAAUCCUAAUUACAUUAAAAUGAUAUAAGUAUAUUAACCUACAAUGAUAAGAUAACCACAAUGAUCACUUUCGUUUUCUCAGAGUGACUACGUACAACUAUUUUUAAAUGAUAAUACUCCAAAAUUCCUAUUCUUUUCUAAGUUUUACACCAUAAGCGCAACUAAACUAAAUUGCAUCCUACAUUAUUAUCAGAUGAAAAGGUAAGUGACAAUUUAUGAAACAACAAAUUCACCACAAAUUUGGAGUUAAAUUGCAUCCAGAUAUACGAGAACUCUACUAAAUCCAUCUCCACUUUCUUACAAAAUGCAAAAUAUACAUCAAUUUAACGAAAAAAUAGAUAAAUUCUACUUAAUUGCAGCGCAUUUCUCUCUGGAAGAGCAAAGGGCUCCAAUUUUCUCAUCCAAACAUCCUAAAUUCGCAUCAAGCCAUCCAAUCUAUGAUUCGAUCUUACCUCGCGAAGCCUCAAAACCCUAAUCCCCGUCGUCGAAUCCGAGGAGCGAAUCGAAGCCCAUCCCGGCUCGCAUCGGCACGGCGCCGCGAGAUUCGAAGCCACCGCCAUCUCGAUCUGCGGCGCGCGAGCCCUCCGCUACAAGCGCCGAGAUCUACAAGGGGGAAGGGGCGGAGGAGGGGGAAUCGAGGGGGACGUAAGUGUGGAGAAAUCUAGGGUUUUGGUUCUGGAUCGGAGCGAUUUUGGAGGGAGAGGAGAUUCUGAGACGGGNGGGGGGGGCGGAGGCGCCGAGGCUCAGAAAGGUGGCGGUGGCCUACGCGUGGGGCCCUCCAUUACACGUGGCGAAGUUUCAGUGGUGGAGCAUGUCCCUGUGGUCUCGUUACGUGCGGUUGAGGAUGUUCCGGUGCACUUGUCGCGCUAAGUUGGGUCCCACCGUAGACCGGUGGACCGCGGACCGUGGACCGUAGAACGUGCCUUGUGGUUUACGUGGGGACGGGGUGGAGUACUCCUUUUUGGACACCACGUUAAAAAAAAAAAAAAAACUGUGUUAUUUAUAGCCUAAUCAUUUAUUAUACUUUUAUUAUUCUAUUUAACAAUAAUAUUUUAUGAUAAAAUAAAAUUAUAAAAUAGUAAAGUAAAAGUAAAUAAAAAAAAAAGAGUCACUGAAACUCAUUAAUUUUGUUCGUUUUGUACAAAUAUAGUAAAAAAAUUUCUCAAUUAUGGAUAAGAAUUUUAUAAUAUAUUUUUUUCAUGCAUAACAAGAAAUUUGACUCUCUUAGAAGCCUUAUAGAUGACAUAAGAUUACGAGAGUUGUAGUUAGGCCAUCAAAUUCAACACAUUAUGAAAUUUUGUCAUUCAUCUUACAUCUUAUAUAAAUUCCAAAUUGCAAUUUUGUAAGUUUUUUAUUAUUAUUAUUAUUAUUAUUAUUAUUUAUUUGCAUGAAAUGACUCUUUUCUAAACUAAUGACUUUUUACAUUUGGACAAAGUUAGGGACUUAAGUCACUGUAAUGGCUUUUUUUAUUUUCUACAUUAAUUUAUUAUUGUAUUUGACUAAUAAGGACUCUUUCAUUUUUUUGAAAAAAAAAAUUUAAAAAGUAGUUUUCUAACUGAAAAAGUAUUUUUUUGUACUUUGGUUACUAAAGAAAGUAGUUAUUAAAAAAAAUCAUAUUUAUAAAAAGGUAGUGGUUUUAUUUUCAAAAAAAAAUUAUCAAAAAAUAAAAAUUAUGAAAAAUAAUAUUUUUCAUAAUUUUUUUUGAAAAAUAAUAUUUCAUGCUUUUCCGAAGAAACCAAGAUGCCGUAAAAGAAUAAAAAGUUUAGUUCUUCUAGUUUAGUCACAUAGUGCUCUUAUUAGAAAUUUCUACUUUCAUUACUUGAAAAGCACUUUCAUUAUAACGAAUAAAAACACUAGCAGUUUAACUCUCAAUAUAUAAUUCUAGUCGCAUAACACAAACUCUUCUUCAGAAGCUUUAGCUGAACUAAAUAAAUUCAAAAUUUGAACUCAUAAUUGCUUGUUUGAAAAGCUCUUCUAGAUGCUCACUGCAUGCAGGAAAUGAUUUGAAAUAGAUGAUAGAGAAUCUUGACUUUAUGCAUCAUUUUAUUUAAUCAAAUGCUUUCUCACUAAGCACACCAUCCCUUUAAUCAUCACUCACAUGUGUAUCCCUAAAAUAUGUUCUAAUCAUUGGUGCUAAUGUGUUUAAAUAUUUUCCACUAUAUAAAGAGUAGCUCAAAGAUCACAUUCUAGCUUUCUCCUACCUACAAGUAUUCGUAGUCUAAACAAGUACAUUAUGUAUAGAGAGAGAUGAGCUUUUAUAUUUUUAAAAGUAUAAGAGUAUUUGUGAUUGCAACUUUUUAGCUAUCAGAUUGUCUCAUAAUCCGUGCAGUGCUAUUAACAGUGUGUCCUGUUAAGUCUCUUUUACUAGAGCUGUAUGAAUCUUGUCGUAAUCCGACGUCUAAAAGGUUACAAAUAUGUUGAGCUCCUAUCCUUUUAAGAGACAAUUUCAACUCUCUCUCUCUCUAUAUAUAUAGCUAGCUAAAAGAGUUUAUGGUGCGUGCCGCGUGCCUAAAGUAACGCUUUUGUUGCAUGACUAUUAAUAUAUAUAAUAAUUUGUUUCGUUUUUAAUAACAGCUUCUUUGUUCAAAAAAAGCAUUAGCAUUGGACUAACAAAAUAUAUAGAUUUCUGCUGCAAAUAGAAUAUAUAUUGAAACGAGUUACUAGUCUUCAAAAAUCAAUAGUUAUAAUUUUAAAAUUUUUACUUACUCUUACUAUAGUAAAAUGUCAUUAAUUAAGUAUUUUCAUGAAGGAUUAUUAUUAGUAGCAUCAUUGUAAAGCAUACCAAUAUUUAAUAAAUAAAAACUAUGUCACAUUGCCUUUAUAUGGUAACUUCUCUAAUUGAUUUUUACUUGUUUCCAAAACAUAUAUAAUAUAUCCAUUAUGUCAUAACUCCUCCUCAUGCAAGGAAAAUAAAUCAAAUGAAUCAACACCUAAUUUAAGAAGUUGGUGACUUGGUGCAAAUUGUAGCCAAAAAUGGUUGAGUAAUAAGUCAAUCUUGUACAUGAAUCCCUUCUACUUUGAUUACUUGCUAUGCAUUAAUAAUGCAAUCAAUUUAAAUUGACUAUUGAGACAAUCUCAUGAGAAAUCUAAUAUGGAAUUGAGUCUCAAGUCAAGAAUAAAAUUUUUGUUCUCAACUCAACCUUUUUUUUCAGUAGUCAUUAGUCGAAUUGAGCAUGAAUAAAGCAAUCUGCAGUUCAGAUCACAACAAUCUGUUCGAUUAUUGUAUUUCUGUAUCCAAUUUUUAAGAGAAUAAAAAUUUAGUAACUUACGUAACAUCAGAAGCUGUAAAAAUAGACGAUAACAUUUAGUCGAGAAAAACAAAAAAUUUUUAUAUCCAACCUCUGUUUUGGUGUGAAUCAAUAAUUGAACACCAUGAUAAACUUGUCCCCAAAUCAUUAUACAAAUAUUUUUUUCAGCAUUAAUAUUUUUUAAAAAAUAGUAUUUUUAUUAUUAUCUUAUCGGAUCUAAUUCAAAUCGGACCGUAGAUCUAGAACGGUUUUGCACAACUCACGAGCCGACCCAAAUCAACGGCUCUGAUCACGAGCGGCGCAUCGAAGCCCCACUCAUUACUUGUACAUCCCCCUUCUUCUACUACUACGUCGCUCUAGAUCGUAUUCUCCUCCAUCCACAUUUCCUAGAGAGAGAAAGUGCGAGAUCGAUCUUUAGAGAGAGAGAGAGAGAGCUCUUCUGAUGCUGCGAUCCAUCAUCGUCUCGAGAUCUCAGGUGCGAUUCGACAGCUCCAUCCUUAGUUUUGAUCUUAAUUUCUCCUGUUUCUUCGUUUGAAUCGCGCCAAUGAGUCCGAUCGCUGAGAAUUUAGGAAGCGAUGUUCGUGAUAUGAGCACUUUGAGCUCUUUUACGAGAUUCUUAUGGAGUUUUGAGCAUUCCCGGACGAUCGCGGGGAUUUGAACUCUGUUUACGAGAUUUUUAUCGAUUUCGAAGAAUUAAAGGUGGUGUUUAGUGGAUAAUAAUUGCGUGGAUUUGAGCUUUUUUACGAGAUUUUUCACGGCAUUUUGUGCAUUUAGAAGAACUAUAGGUGCUAAUUUCGUAAUUAACGCUAUUUUAGCUGAUAAUCGCGUGGAUUUUGAGCCUUUUUAGGCAAUUUUUCAUGGAAUUUUUAGCUUUCCGAGCGUAGGGAAGCUCCGAUCGAUCUAAUGCUGAGAUAACGAAAUUGUAGUAAAUUUUAAGCCAUAUUAAACGUGAUUUAGGAUCAAAUUAUACGAAAUAACUGUAAAUAAACUUGUGAAUUACGCGACAUUAAGCGUAAUUUAGGAAUCAAAUUAUACGAAUCAUUAUAACUCGUGAAUUGUGAUAGUGAAGCGCAUCUGAAGCUACUAGAAAAAAACUCACUGCCGCAUCUCUAAGCGUUUCCCAUGGGUUUCGCGUUUCCCAUAAGCCAUUCCGUUUCGUGGGAAACUCGUUCCCGUUUCCUUCUCGACAGUGUUCGGGGAAUCGGGUUUUAAUUUAGAAUGAAUGCCCAAAUGUCAAAAAAAAAAAAAAAACUUCAAGUUUUAUAGUUAAUUAAUAUAAUAUUUAAUAUUAUAUUAUAUUUAAUUAUUUUGAAAAAUAUAUAAUAAUUCCGAUAAAAAUUAUUAUGUUGGCACUAAACCAUAUUUGCCAUGAAACACCAAAUCUUGUCGCAUAACAUUAUUAAAAAAAAAAAUUAAAUCAUUACAGUGUCAACUGUCAACCACUAUGGCACUAUCUAAUCUAUUAAUGUGAUGCAUGGGAAAAUCAAUCUAUAAGAUUAGAGGUUCGAACGUAUAAUAACUAAAUUAUAGAUCAAAGUACCAAGGUUGAGCUGUUUAGUUUCUUGAAAAAAAAUAUAAAAAAAAAUUUCACAGGAAAAAAGUUGUUAUGAAAAUAUUUUUUUUAGUUUUUUGUUCAUUUAGUUCUAAAAAAAAGUUUUUAUGAAAGUUUUUUUUUCCAUUUUUUACGAAAAAUUAGUGUUUACAUUUAAAAAAAAAAUCUGAAAAUUAAAAAUUCUAGUUUUUCGUGAAAUAUGGAUUUUUUUUCUUUCAAAAUGCUUAUUUUUCUUUAAAUUAAAUGAGCGAAAAUUGAAAAAUAAAACUUUUCUCUUGAAUUUUUUUUUUUUUCUGUUUUUGGAAAAACCAAACAGGGAGUAAUAACGGUGUGAUUCGGCCAUGAUUAAUUCUUUUUGCUAGGUGUAUGAUUUACCGGGAAACGCGUUUCCCGGUUUCUUCUCCGGAUAAUAACCUUGGGAUGUUUGUUGGGACGUGCCUCUCCCUUCACGUUUCUCGUGAACUCAUCUCCUUCUCGAUGGGCCCAACUUUGAGAGCUUUUGAUGGCUAAGGCCCAACAACUAGAAGCUACACACCAAUCCCAUCCACCGUUUUUGACCGUUCGUUUUGAUUUGAUGGACGGAUGAGAUUGUCUUUCUUGUUAGCGCUUAAUUAAGAUUCCAAUGGGGGGAGGUGGGGAAUGGCUUGGUCCCUUGUUAUUGAUAAGCAGCUUUUUGAACCCCUUUUUUGUGGGCUCGUUUUAGUUUUCGUCAGUCGCUAAUAAAAGAAAAGGUUGAGAUGAAAAGGCAAAAAGAGAGAGUGCAAUGAGUCCCCCCAAUUAUUAGCUCUCGUGCGUCUCUUUUAAGUUCUCAAAUCUCAACCCAUAUAUAGAGUCCACAUCAACAAAGUUCCUCUCUCACACCAACUCUUUAAAUUCUCAACCCCACUAAUCAUAGCUAGCGCAGUUAGUUAAUUAUAUUCAAAGCUUAACUAUUUUACUAGCUGAAUUCAUUUUUAGAUAAUGCUUACCCGCUUUAUGUUUAAGGGUGAUAUCAAACUGAUUGUUGAUAUUGAUAGUAAAAGUUUUUUUCCAUUUAGCCGUCUGUUUGUUUUCUGGAUAGCAUUGAUCACUAUUACUAUUAUGAGACUUUUGAGAGUCGUGACGGCCGACAGAGAACCAAGCUUCCCGGUAGGGAGUAAGGCGUGUGAUCAAGAAGCUAUUAUAAGAAUUUACUAUAGAUAUUUUUUCUAAUAUUAAUUUCUGAAUAACACUUUAUCCAACAACACACAUCCGUAAUCGAUUCAUACCAAGCGUGUGAAUAGAGAAGCAAACACUGUUUUUCUUCAUGUUCUAGAUCUCUCCUCUUUUUCUCUCUCUCUCUCUCUCUCCCCCUCUUUUACUACUCCAUGUGCUCUGCAUGUGGGGGUUUUUGGAACGGUCCAUUACGUUCUCUAGCCCUUGCCACAUAUUCAUCCGAAAUGUUCGAGUUGUUCUUUCUCUAUGCGUGCUCCUGCAACGAACAAAUAUUCUAAGUCAUGUUGCAAAGGUAUAAGGUAAUUGCGCACUGGUGAAAAAGCAUACACGUACACGUUGCAUUCACUUGAUCUAGGCAUUAGAGCCAUGUGACAUGCACGUUGCAACUAGGAAUACACACAUAUACAUAAUAUAUACAAUUGUUCCAGCGUAUGCAUGUUACUAGUACUAGCUAUAUGUAUAUAACAUGAUCCUAAGCAUUUCGAUGAGAUUCGGUGGGAUGUAAUGUAUCCACUCUCUGACAUACAUGCAUGUGAUGUGGUUGCGAAUGUCCUUUAGCUAUUUAUGUACAGAUUCUGAGAAGCUUAAAUAGUUUAUUGUUUUUUACUUUUCUUUUUUACCAUAAUACCUUACAAAACCCUUUUAUCUUCCAAGUUAGAAGUGUUAUACCUAAUAAUUGUACGGUGUUAAUGCUUUACCUAAAAAAUCGGUCCAGUAAUAAAAUUUCGUCUUAAUGUGAAAUCAAUCUAGUAGAAAAUGAUAUAGAAAAACCAAAUAUGGUACGUCAAUAAUACCGCAUUAUUUGCAUUUGCAUCAAUCAUAAUACAGGGUAAUAAUAUAUUCUGUCCAUAUCUUGCCUUUUAGACCUCCUCAAAGAAAAAUGAUUUCUCGGACUACCCUAUUGGCUUUUAUUUAUUUUAUUUUUAUUAUUCUUAAUUAUUAAUUAAUAAAUUUUACAACUAGUGAUUAUAUUAUGCUCUAUAUUUUUAGUGGCUUUAUCCUCAAUGGCCAGUAUGAUCUGAUAAGUUUGUUAAUAAAUAAAAUUCCUAAUUCACUUAGCCAGUAUCUAAUAAAGUUGUUAAUAAAUAAAUUUUCUAAUUCACUUAGGCUGUUAAUAAAAUUUCGAGAAAAAAGUUUUUCAUGAAAAUUUUCUUUUCAGUCUUUCCUCCGUUCAGUUUUUUUUAAAAAAAGUGAUUUUUGAAAUUUUUAUUUCAAAUUUUAUGAAAAACUAACAUUUUCAUUCAUAAAAAUAUCGAAAAACAAAAACAUCAAUUUGUCAUAAAAUUCGAAAAAUAAGUUUUGAAAAAAGCUAUUUUUUUUUAAAACCAAACGGUUAUAAACCGAAAAAAAUAUUUCCAUGAAUAAUUUUUUCUGAAUUUUUUUUCCCACACUUUCUCGAUGAGCCAAACACCCCCAAUAUAGCCGAAAUAAUAGAAUUUAAAUACACUUAUUAUUAUUAGAUAUCUAUUACAGAAAAAGGAAACAAUUUUUUUUAUUAUUUAUUAAAUACUCUUAAUUAAAUAAAUGACUAUUUUUUAUUUAUUAUUUAUUAAGGUAGUGUUUGGUUCGGGUAUAAAUAAGAACUAGCUAUUACAGGAAUAUGUAUAAGUAUGGGGAUAAGAAAAAUAACAUUCGAAUGAAAAUUGGGUUGUUUCCAGGAAUAAGAAAAAUAACAUUUGGAUAAAUAAUAUGGAAUAAAAAAAAUAGUGAAUGGUUAUAUAUAAAAAAUAGAGGUAUUGGUGGAAAUAGUUAUACCCGAUUAUUUUAGAUAAUCAAAAAUUAUUAUUCUCCAAUAAAAAAUUAACAUUUAGAUAUAAAAAAAGUGUAAGAAGUUAUUCCACCCCUUAUCCCUAAUCCAAAUGCUGCCUAAAGCCCCCGCUUAACUCCAAAGCCAAGGAUGGAGGAUGGGAUGGGCCACGCCCCUUCGUCACGUGGGUUGCCGGUCUCCAUUUCUGACCCAAAGAAGAAGGACAAAACAGCUUUCCUCCUCUCCUUUUUUUCCUUUCUUAAAAAUAAAAAUAAAAAUAAAAAAGAAAAACGAAAAGCCCCGGUCUCAGCCGUAGCAAAUCGACAAAAGGGGAGCGAAGCAGCAAAAGCUACUGUAACUUCUUGUCAUUUUGCGUCCCCACUUCCCCCGCCAAAUUUUCAAUAAAAACAGAGGGAGAGGGGUCUCUCUCGCGCCACGCAAAUGCGUGGUCGCCCCACCACAAAAUUAUAUAACGUCGCAACUUCAAUAAUUUUUUCACUUAAAUUAAUUCUUAUUUUACUCUUUCAUGUUUAUUUUUCAAAAAAACUUAACUUUAAUAUGAAUAAUAAAAAUAAAUAAAGUAUUCUUCCAUUGUGUAAUUAAAAUUUUUUAAAAAAAAUUAGGUAUUUUCUGAUAAUUGUAAAGUAAUAAUGUAUAUGUCUCUUAAGUGAAAUUACAGGGAUAGUACAGCUAAUAAUAAUAAUACUAUUUAUACAUUUUGGCCACUUUUAUUUAUUAGACAAACAUCCUAAUCAAUUAUACUACCUAAAUUGUGCGGAAACUAUAAUAUGGUAAGCAGUGAUAAUGUCACCCGAGCACCUCCCUUAUUUGCAUAUAGAGGAGUGUUAGCUUAUAGCAUUAUUGGGUAGAGUAUGAAAAGAAAGGAGUGGAAAUAUCGAUGUAGGCGUAUAGAGAAUCAGAGAUAGAUACUGUAUAUAUAUCGCACCUACCGAUAGUUAGAGCGGUGUGUGAUUGCGAUUGUAGACACCAUAGGUGGUGUCGGUGAUAUCCAUGCCCACUGUUGGGCUCAAACAGCUCAAUCUCAACAAUGUGAUUUUGGUUUCUGAGGUACGGAAUAACUUACAAUUUUCUCUUUUCUCUUUUUUUUUUCGUUUAUUUUUUAUCCAAAGUAGAUAGUUUGAUGUUUUCUACUCUUUUAUUUUAGGUAAGUUUAUUGUUUUUUGCUCAAAAAAUUUGAUUUUGGGAUCUGGGUAUGAGUGCUCUAAGCAAAUUGUGAACUUGGGCUUCUGUGUUUUUUCUGUUUUUAAAAUUUUGAGAAUUGAUGUUAUGUACCGUAACGCGGGGGAAUUCGCUGGACCCAAAUGCUUGGAAAAGUAGUUAUAGUUUGUAAUCUCAUGGAAAUGAAUUUAGUUUGUGUGUGUGUGUGUGUGUGUGUUUUUUCUUUUUUUUUUUCUUUUUGCUCUUUUGUUGUAGGAAAAAACGGGUUUGAAUUUGGUAUGGACAUAUAUAUGUGGAAAGGAUGCAGCAUUUUCUAUUUGAUUUUGUACAGCAAUACUUUUUGCCUUACAUGAGACUCUAUACAAUAAAAUUUCCAUUUUGUAUUAUUAGCUUUUUGCCCUUUUUGACCCUUUAGUUGUUGGAGUUUUGGCUGUACGUUGACUCUUCUGUUUAUUCCAACACGACUUCGUUCUUAUUUAGAUAAUUCGGUCACUUUAAUGUUCUCUUGUUUCUUAUAGAUACAUUGAGCUUUGAAGCUGAAAAAGGUGCUUACAACAUAUUGUAAGUUGCUCACUAAGAGGAUUAUGACCAAUUUUCCCUUUCAUGUAGGCAUUAUCUCAUAUCUGAUAUUUUGUCAUUAGCAGAAUAAUUUCUUUUUACAAUCAUGUGAUGAGAAUUUAUAACCAAAUUAUUCUUGUAGUCUUAACUCUUGUCUCGUAAAGCUUCAGCUAUUAUGCUACAACCAGUGAAUGUGUCUGGUUUUCAUUUUGUAGGAUUGAUCUGUGGCUUCGGAAAAAUAUGUUGCUUUGGCAUAGUAGUAUCCGAAGACAUUGAGCUAAAUUGCCUGAUAUAGGAUGGCUACCGAUGUUGAUCAAGCCUAUUUUUCAUGGUCGCAGGAGGAAUUAAAUGAUAGAAAUAAUUCUCAAGUAAAUCUCUUUCCCUUACUUAAAUUGUUUACUUCGUUAUUUCACUGGCCAAAUUGCUUCAGUCAUUUCCUUGGCUGGUAAUUGGGAACAACCCUUAAUUAAUGGAAAAGUGAAGCAAUUAUUUAUGUAUAAUACCUUCUAUAGUUGAACAUUCUACAGUUCAAAAACAGUGCCAUUUACGAGUGCUAUUGAAGUUUUACUCUUAAUACUGUUAAAUAUCAAGUUUAAAUUAUUGUUAUAUUACAGGAUUAUAUUUAUAUAAAAUUCAGUUCUGCUGGUGUACAGUGUAUGAAUCCUUUCCCUGAAAGCUUAUGACCAACAAAUUACAACUAUACUGUAAGCCAUAUCUUAGAGUUCUGCAUAUACAAACAUCUCAAAAUCAGUAACAAAGUGCAUAAGAAAGAAAUUUGACACCUUUUCUCACCUUUUGGCAAGUGAUACCCAUUUCCAUUAUUCACAUUUUGAAAAUAGAUUCUUUUCUUCAAAGUGUGGGCUCCAUGGGACACUAAAGCCUUGUCAUAGUAAAGAAGAAAGGAAUUUCUUGUUGGACUGGCAUUGAGUGUAGCAGACCCGUUAAGGGAAUAAGUCUUCCUUUUUUUCGUUAUGUGGAACUUGAUUUCUUAUAUAAAUAAGUUAAGUGAAUGUUGUGCUGUUAUAGCUUUCUUAGUAAUACUAAGCUUGGAUACAAAAAUUGCUUCUUUUAUCUUAAUUUAUGAUUUCAAUGAUUGUUUCUAGCAGUUAACAUUUUUUUAUUAUCUAUUUAAUUUGUCAAACUGGUUUUCAGGGAGUUUCGGUGUCUCAGAUGCUUGACCAUGGUUCCAUAUCUUUUGGACGAUUCGAGUAUGAGUCAUUAUCAUGGGAAAAGUGGUCGGUAUUUACACAUAACAGGCGUCAGGAAGAGCUGGAGAAGUUCAAUGGAUUGGUUGCCCAAAAGAAGGCAUAUUUCGAAGAAUACUAUAGAAGGCUUCGAGCGUUAAAGGCUUUGCAACAGCAGCAACAACAGCAAGAGAACCAGCAAACAGAACUUACUUUGGAUUACAGUGGUGAUGGUAGUAUUUCUAGCCAGAAUGGAGAGGACGAAACAACUUCACAGCUUGAAAUCAUAAGAGAUGAGACACAAAACGUUACUGAUGCUGAAGAAGCUAUUUCUGAGAAGCACUUUGAGCGGGAAAUAAACUACACUGAAGAUCCUGGAUGUAGAAACUUGGACCAAGCAUUUAUAUCAUCAGGUUCUGCUUCAUUGAGUAGAAACUUCGAGAAAAUUGAGCAGGAAAGGGACUCAAAUAAUGUACAAUAUAGUCAACCGCUUAUUGUGAAAUCCCUCAAAUCAUUGAAAACCUCCAAAGAGAUCGAGGAAAAUGAUGGACGUAAUCUCGAAGGAGAAGAAAUCAACAGGUUACAGCUGAAUCCAAAUUCAAAUCUUGAGAAUGGAGCUGCUUCGCAUCAGGCUAUGUUGAGCUGUACAGAUUCUAUUUCUAGAGAUGAUGACUCAAAGCUUAGGCUGCCUAGCAAAGCAGUGGCAGAGACAGUCAAAUUGUCAUCUAAGAAAACUGCGGAUCGUAAAUCAGUUCCUAAGGUAAAAGUUUUGUUAAAUUUGGAUAUCUUCUUGGUAUGCCUGCUUUUGAUUAAUCUAAUAGAACUAACCGGUUAACUUCCUUUGCAUUUUGUGGCCCCAUUUAUGGUGCUUGGCUACUUGAAUCAUCUUUCGUCAUUAAGUUCAAUACUUCUAAAUGACCUUUAAUCAAGGAAACAUUCAUAAUCUACUUUUAUGCAUUUUCCAUUAAUUAUGUGGUCCUCUCCCUACUGUGGUGCUUUCCAAGUAGAAUCACUUCUUUUUAUCCUUUGCACGACAUAUCCUACCCCUAAAAUAUCUGAACCUUCUUAAAUUAUUUUCAUAGCAUCUAGCCAAAAAUUGAAGCUAAACCAGAUAGUGGUAUUAUUUCCAUUUUAUGUGGUAACGUGUGCUUGCCUUGACCCAUUAAGAACUGUAGAUUCAGGUGGCUCGCCAAAUUGAACAUAUGUCAUCUGGACCCACCUGAUAUCGAGAAAGAAUUCUUGGCAAAAUUACUCUUUUUAAUCAUUUAAUCAUGUUUAUUGCACAUACAUUUUCUACUGAACAUCACCAGUGAGUACCAGCUUGAUUUAGUUAGGACCAUUACAAUAAUUCGAAGAAAGCAUCCAAGUGUACAGGACAUCAAUUAACUACUAGAUUUUCCAUAUUGGAUGAUUUGUCAUUAUUUCAUCUGGAGUUUCUUUUCUUUUCUUUUCUUUUUUUCCAGGCGCCUCCUCCUCCUGUUCGAUCUUCUGCAUACUUGAAACAAAAAUUCAGGCCAGACUCCGUUCAAUCGUCUGAGAAAGCAAGCAAACCAGUUCAAAAGCCAGUUGCCAAGUCGGACAAAACAAACAGUACAGCAAAAGAAGCUACAAUGAGAGUCAAAACUACCAACAGAGCUACUUCAGUGACUUCAUGUAGAACAGUCAAGGAAAUGCAAUGCAAUAAUAGUACCACCCCACGUCCACUUUCCGCUCCCAGAGAAAGAAAAGCUGGCAUAAGAGAAACCAUAGGGAAAAUGGAUUUCAAAACUGCUAAGGAACCGCAAUGCAAUAAUACUUCCACCCCGCGUCCACUUUCCGCUCCCAGAGAAAGAAAAACUGGCAUCAGAGAAAGUGCGGCGAAACUGGAUUUCAAAACUGCGGAGGGUGGCCCAAAUAUGCAGGUUAGUUCGUGCCAAUAAUUUUGCUGCUUGUUCGCAGCUGAUAUUAAAACAAGGAGCCUUUACUCAUAUAUCCAUUCAAAGCAUCUAUUUUUCAUUUAUGUCUCCUGUUUCAUUGAUGCUUCCUUUGUAAAUAUCCAAUUUCCACAGGUUACUCCAAAGAAGAUACCAGCACCAAGUGCUGUUAAAACUAGUAGGCUGGAGUCAAAAAGGUCAAUUUCACCUGUUGAAGAAAUGAUUUUAGUGAAAAUUCUAAUUUUCUAUCCUAGAUUCUGAUGUUAUUCUCCAAACGUGUUUUAAUCAGGGACUACAAAGUAGUAAAAGAAACUUCAGCAUUAAACAGGGUACCUACAGGCUUGAAGAGAACGGAAGACAAUGUGCUUGGAACACCAAAAUCGAGGUAACAUUAAGAGCUUGAGCAUCUCAUGAGUUUUCGGAAUAGGUCGUUGUUACAGCAUUACCAUUCCACUAUGUACUGCCAUAAUUUUCAUUAUCGUAUCUCUGCUGAUUUUGAAGUCAUUGCGCAGGCUACAUUUUUUUUUAAAUCAUUUAUUCAAUCUAGUAGCAUUUUUUUUAAAAAAUUUAUCAAUGCCCAGGUCGAUUAAUCUCCCUCCAAGGAAAAAGUCUAGUCACAGUAGUGGAACAGAUCAAGUUACGGAAAACUUCACAAGGAACAAACAAGAGGUAACUAGAAUGGUGAUUCUCUUGCAGCUGAUCUUCAGCAUUUUAGAUAUUUAAAGUAUGCUAAUGGACAUUUUGUGUAGGAAAACAAGGAAGCAAAAUUGAUGCAAUCUCGGUGGCCUUCAAGAAGUACUACUACCCCUUCACUUACAGGAAGCUUAAGGACAAGCACCCAAAAGGUAAACCUUGUUCAGUGUUCCCAACUGUCGAUUCCCAUAAUUCCAGGAGAAUCAUAUACUAUUAAAAAUGGUAUUACUAGAUGGCAGAAAUAGCACUUUAAUCUUAAACUUUGUGUCACUCUCUCUCUCUCUUUUUUUCUUUUUUUUUUUUUGCAUAACUACUUCGUCUCAUCUCAAAUGCACCUCGUUUGUCCGACCUUUUAAUCGUUACAGCAAGAUCUCUAACAUUUAUAUUCCAUGGCAUUCUUAACUAUUUUCAUUGAAUUAAUCAUCAAACAAUAUAUGUAUAAUUACAGUAUGGGAAUUCAAAGUUUCUCACAUUGUAGUUAGACGACAAUUGUAACCAUGCCAAGGCUAGGGACCUUAUUGUAACACUUGAAAGGUUGGGACAUUAAGAGGUUGGGACUCCUGUGGCACAAUUCACCCUCUUUUUCGCUAUUGUCACAAGUAUAACAUUACGCCUUUAUAAAGGUUCUCAUAUAGGCAUUAUCUUUUGUUUGAUUUUAAUAUAACAGCGAUUUUGUUACCUCAGGCCGGUGAUCUACCACGCUUUGGGAGUAAACCACAAAUCAAGAAUCCGUCUCUCAACGGAAGGAAGCCAAAGUACUUCACUCUAAACACCUGAUGAUUCUUUUCUCUGCCUUUUGCAAAAAUAUAGCCGAUUUUUAUCUCUGUCGGCAACUUUGGACCCAAAAUAUCUUUUUCGGUGCUGAAAUGACCGCCGCUUAUUUUAUAACGAAUCCUAGACAAAAAAUAAAUUUCAACCAAGGGCAUUCUGAUCAACGAAAUGAUAUUUAUUUUUGCAAAAUGCCCUUUCUCCCUUGCCAUUAAUGAUUACCCCAAUGAUAAUUCGGACUAAAGACCAUAUGAUACAUUUGUUAUAUACAGGGUAGAGGCACCGCAAUGGCGAUAACUCGUCCGAAGAUGAGCAAUGGACCUGUAAAGAGAAAAAUGGCUCCAUCACACCUUUCUCUUCAUUACAAGUUUGCGACGCGACCUUAAGAGUAAUAUGUGGAUCUUCAAUCUUGUUGUAUGAUGUGCUGUAGCAUCUCUCUGCUUUGGGAGCUAUUGGUUUACCUGCUUCUGGUGAUCUAAAGAACUGCUCCCUCCAUGUCAAAAGAGAUUUCAAUAGUUCUGUAUAUACCAAAACUAAUAGGGCCAAAUAGUAUGGAGGCUGUCUCAUUACUGCAUCUUCAAGUAUGGAAAAAUUGUUAGAAUUUCCUAGUUGCUGUGAUCAGUAAGUUUUGUUGUAAAGCAUCUGUUUCGCUUAGCUGUUAUUUUUGCUUUCAACUGUAGUCGUUCGUUAAUAAUGAUAUAAAAAUUUUAAUUAGUUUAUGCUCGUAAUCCUACUUGUCAUACAAGUUGUCAUUCGUCUUUGAUAGAUAUAUUUUUUUGACUGUGUUGUAAAAGUAAGGAUUUAAAUGCUGUGGCACGGGUUGGAAACUUGCCGGUACGAUGUGUGCCGAGUCUUGUCGAUGCGUGCCGGUUAAAAAAAAUUUUUAUGUGCCGACACAUAAUAACAUGAAAUAUUUAUUUUCUUUAGCAACAAAAUAUUCUAACUAUUUAUUAUGUCUUUUUAUCAUAACUUUUAAAUUUUAUAUUGGAAAAAUUACAUAUUAAUUUAAAGAAUAGAUGAUUUUGAGCUGUGCCAUUGGUAUGAGAUCUGUAUCGUGCCGGUAUUUUGUUGGCACGGUACGACACGGUGGAUACGAUCCGUGUGGACAUGCAUUUAAAAUUUUGUGUAAAAGAAAAAAAAAAUUAUAACAUUAUUUAAACUUUAGAUUAUCAUUUCUCUUAACUGUACUUAUCGUAUACAAAAUUCAUGCGUAAUCUAUGAACCCAUAAGAAUUAAAAUUUGACACGUCUCCUUUUAAAAAAAAAAAAAAAAUGACACGUCGUCUCAACAGAGGUGGGUAAGCGUGUGAAACACAAGUCCUUUUGAAUUACUUGUCCGCAUAAUUCUCCACGAACGAACUCAUAAUCACGUGGCUUCGUCCUAAGGAGCCGGCCCUUCCGCCGUUACGAUUUCGACACGUGUACCCUUCCCACCACCGCCGCGAAAUACUUAAGGGCUCUAGAACAAUCUCAUAUCCCCAAACUACCCCCGUAGUCCACCAAACCCCGUCGCUCCACGAGACCCGUAAUGAGAUAAAAGCUUGAGGGCAUUUACGUAAUUUCGUAUAUGAGUAUUUUGGUUUCGUAGGAAAGCGUGGCGAAAGCGUUGCUGGUCGACGAGUUUUUUCUUCUGCUUCUUCGCGGAGAGGAGAACCAAACCCUAACCCUAACCCUAGAUCUCUCUCUCUCUCUCUCUCUCUCUCUCUCUCUCUCUCUCUCUCUCUCUCUCUCCAAUGGCGUCGUUCGCGGAGGCUCCCCCCGGUAAUCCCAAAUCGGGCGAGAAGAUCUUCAAGACAAAGUGCGCCCAGUGCCACACCGUCGAGAAGGGCGCCGGCCACAAGCAAGGUACUCUCUAUCUAUCUCUCCAUCUGUGGGGAUUUAUUCGUAGUUGUUUCCUUUUACCUGUUUUUGAUGUGUAUUUCAUAAUUUUGCCUUGGCAAUUGUUGAUCUUGCCCCAUGAUUAGAUCUAGCUUGUUUUGUUGUCGUUUUUAUGGUUUUAGAUCGUGAUUUGUUACAUCUGGAUCCUGGACUACUUGUUUUGGUUCUGAUCGAUGGGUUCGAUCUGCUUUUCUUUGUAUAAUAUUGGUUGGAAUGGAUGAAUACGUGUCGAGUUGGCUUAAGUAACGUGCGAAUUAAAUGUUGCUCUCGUUGUUUAAUGGUUUAAUUAAUUAGUGGUUCGCAACAAAUUGAAUCUUUUCUGUCUCCUCUUUAAUGAAUCACAUUGUUAAUCACUAGAAAAAGUUGAAUCUUUAGCAGUGUUCGCGGUAUUCUUAACUUUGGUGAUUUGAUAAUUGGUGAAGUAAAAUUGUUGGUUUCCUGUGCAUAGCGAUUAUCUUUCAUUGUAUGCACAUCGGUUCCAUUUUUGGUGUAUAUUAGGUUGGUAUGAUAUUAACUUGUGUCUAGUAAAUUAUGCGAUAUGGUGUUUUCGUCAGGUCUUUAUAUGCAUAUCUCCUUGAUGUGUUUUUUUGCUAAUCUUUUGUUGAAAAUGAUAUUUAUUUAAUUGUUGGCAAACAUUGAACUCUAUUCCUGAUGAUUGUAUUGGUGCCCAUAGGACCAAACUUGAAUGGACUGUUUGGUAGGCAAUCGGGGACAACCCCUGGUUAUUCCUACUCCACUGCGAACAAGAACAUGGCUGUGAUUUGGGAGGAGAAUACAUUGUAUGAUUACUUGCUUAACCCUAAGAAGGUAUUGUUUCCUCUAUAACAUCCAUAGUUACUGUUUUUCCCUUAAUUAGCUUGAGGUCGCAUUGUCAUUAUAUUUCAUGUUCGAGUAGAUAUUGUGCAUUUUCUUCUCAAAUAUAUGGUGCAUGUGCUACUGAUGCAAAUCUGCCUAAAGAGAGACUUUUAAGAGUAUCGUGCAUUUUUUACGCAUGUCUUCCUUACUCUCUUUCCUUUUUCCAUUGGGUAUGUUUUGUUUUGUUUUGUUUUGCAGCUCUUUUCUUUAGAUCUAUGUGCAUGUGUGCAUAGUAUGCAAGUAUACACAUUUUCAUGUGUGCAUACUGCAUACUAUGCAAAUAUGCAUAUUUUCAUGUGUGCAUCGUAUGCAUGUUUUGAGUGCAGUAUUGUCUUAUGUAAAUUUGGUUCUUUAUCGCUGUUGUUCGUAUGGUCUCCAUAUGUUUCCUAUCUGGGAGGCCAAAUUUCUAGGAUAACUAUCACAAUGACAUUGUGGGUGAUGUAGUUAGACUCAAAUUUUUAAGGGCUUGUCAUUUCACCAAAGUGAACUAGCACUUGUUUGCUCCAAAUUUUGUUUGGAAGUCGCUAGUAAUCUUUGAUUUCCUCUGUUUACUACCUUCUAGUAUCAGCAGUGUCCAUUAACUACUGUAUUGCAAGAUUCUCUAGAUUUUCUUGUAUAAAUAUUCCAGGUAAUAGUAAGCACUCAUGAAGUAAGAUCUUCUGCCUUGUCAGUGAAAGCCUGAAGUUAGAAUUCACCCUCUUAGAGAUUCAAUCCUAUUCCCACUACUAUAUCAAGGGAUUAAGUUGGAUUGGUACUGUUUUAAGAGUUUUAAGUGAUGUCUGCUGACCUUGGUGUGGACAGUUGUGCUUUGUUAUCAUUAAAUAUUGUUUGCAAACCAACGGAUAACCUGCUGAAAAUAUCUUAAUAUGCACUUGGGAUGAAGUGCAGGAUUUUCUAAUAAAUUUGAUGGGUUAUCUGUAGGUUUUGAUUAGCAAGAGAAAUUUGUGAUGUUUCUAUAGGGACUCUCCUGUCUUUGAUCAUAGGCUCGAGACCUAAAAUUCUGAUUCUUGUAUGAAUCUCACAAUGAAUCUCACAAUGUAAUACACGUCCAUUUGCAUGUGCCGUGUUAUCUGUUCUUUUAAACCCGAUUGUUAUUUGUUUUAUGUAUUUGAAGGACAAAUGCAGCGGUUCAGUUAAUAUUUUGGAGUCGUCUCAUGUUAGUUUCCUCUCUGUGUGUGUGUGUGUGUGUGUGCAGUAUAUUCCUGGCACAAAGAUGGUAUUCCCCGGUCUGAAGAAACCACAGGAGCGUGCGGACCUCAUCGCCUAUCUGAAGGAAGCAACCGCCCCACAAUAAGCACCUUUCUUUGUUAUUCAACCUCCUCUACAGAUGCAAUUCUUUUUGUGGCUAAUAAGACCGUAAGGUCAUCCUGCUUUGUGCGAAGAAGCAGCGGAGCCUAUUGAACAAUCUUUAUUUUUAACAGUUUCUCUUUUUAAGUAAUAUUAGGCAUCACUUUGGAGUCAUUGCCUAAACUGAGCACAUUAUUCAUUCGAUGCAGAAUGUUUGCAUCGGCCUAUUCGGAAAUAGCCAUGCCCUGAUGACUUAGAUCGUAUCAUAUCAAACCGUUUUAUGACUUCGUUGAGUUUGUCGUGAGUUGUUGAAUCUGAGUUUCUCUUCCUUUCGUCCCUCUUGUGGUCAAAAUGAUGUGAUCUUGCUUAUUGGUGAAUGAUCCUGGUUUUUGGUUGUGUGGUGAUGAUUGUAGAAAAGGUGGAUUUUUGAGGUUUCAGCGAUAUUUGCUCGACCAUCCUGAUUUGUUUGCCUGAUUGCAAAUGGUGCAUCAAAAAGCUGCUCAAUCAGUAUUUUUGACCCAAUGUGCUCUUCUUGGUCAAUCGGAAAAAAAUUAGGGUUGCUGCUGCUAAAGAAUCGGUGGGGUUUGGAUGCAUAAGUAGAUAAGUUUGGCCUCUGUUUUGUAAGUGCACUUAAACAUACCAUGAAUAGUAUUGAUGCGAUCAAAAGUUGUUUAAUGUGCGACAAACGAAGUUUAAUACUGCAGUACUGCACUAACAUCAUGCAGGAGUUAAAAAAGCAGUAGUCUCGGCCUGGUAAAGCAUCAACUUUAGCUCAUGAACAUUAAUAAAUCAAACAAAGAAGCUUGAAUAGGAGGAAGGGAAAAAAACGAAAGAUCUUCUAACACAACAAAACAUCUACACAGAGUAGUAAGAUUUCUAAAAGAUGCUUUUCAACAGGCAAUGGUUCCACCACGGAUCAACUUCACAGUUUGUUGCUAUUUUUUUAAAUCUUUUUUUUUUUUCCCACUGAACUCUGAUUCUAAGUGGUGCGUGGUUGCUUGGGGAAGCGACGACACAUCCAAGGCAAAUUCUAAGUACUUAAUCUCUCUGUUCUUGUACAUUCAGUCUCUAUACAACACAUGGUAGUGAAAUUUCGGUAUCAAGAGAAGAUCACCACUGAACUGCAUUGUAGGAGAUAGUGAAUCAUUAUUUAUUUGUAAAUAAUAUUUUCUGGAAAAUUGUUUGCACUAUAUUAGAUUGCAUAAAAAAUAUGCCAGUGAUGUACAUUAGAUAUACACAGUUUUGGGGGGGCUACCAUUCACUUUACAUAUAAGGCCUUGGUGUGCUUCUAUUCAAUAUCUUUAAUUGCAUCCUGCACAAGGAGAGAUUACUGUUAUUAAUAUCGGCAUCCCAAAGGUAUAUUUGCAGAAAGAUCUUAAAAUGGAUAUCCCUGGUAGGGCCAAAGUUUUCAGAGGUAAACUUGUUAAACAAGGUGUAUUUGCACAAUUCUGUAUAUUUGUAUGUGUAUACAUAUAAAUAUGUGACAAAACAACAAUUGAAAUAAAGAGCAGGAAACAAAAAUAAACUAAAGAAAAUCAUGCAAAAGUGUACAUUAAUUAACUAGCUAAUUAGUGCAUAAAUAAGUACGUGGAGUUGAAAGCAAGCACCUUUGCAAGCCUAGUAACAUAAGUUGCAGCGACGGCUGUAAAUAGAAGGCCUAGGCCAAGAGUCAACAACUGACCAUUUCCUCCCGGUAAACCCACAUCUGACUCUUCUUGCUGAAAAGAUUAGGUGGAGUUAAAUAAUCAACUAACCCUAACGACAUUAAUUAAGUAUACGCCUACAGAUACCGAAUCUUUUUCACAAUCUAAGCGAAUUACUACAGGGGCACAGUGUUGGCAAAACCAAAACACUCUAGGAGGUAAUAAUAUGGAGUAUGCAUUAAGAUGUCAGCCAAGUACAAAAAUUGAUAACAAAUAGCUUCUUUUAGGAAUAAAUUUAAUUUCAGUUUGAGAACUGAAAAGGUUUCGCAACCAUUUUGGUCCUCGUUUUUACUGGCCUUUUAAUAUUACAAUGAACUAGAUGUGCUAUUACAAGGCUACAUUAAAGAAGCAAUAUUGUCUGUCUAAACCUUGUUUUUUCCUUUGAAAAUCCAAACAUAUUUCCUUAAAAAAAACAAUUACAGUGAUAUUUGUGUCAUCAACUUUUAGGCACCAAAUGGAGAGGCCACAGAUCAACAAAAUUUGCCAAAAUAUUAAGAAUCUUCAGGAUAAUGAACAUUCCAGACAUGCUGAUUAUGUGUACUCUUGUAGAUAAACAAUAAGAAUUACAGUACAAACUACAUGUACUGUAACACACAGUGAAGUAUAAUAGCCUCAAUUAAAAUCAAGAUUAGUAGCUUAACAAAUAUGUUAAGACAAGUAGGAUAUGCAAAUAGCAAUAAACUACUCAAAUGAAUCAACUUUCAGAGGCAUUCAACGAGUUCAAGCAUCUCAACAAGCAUCCCAAGGCACUAUACUAGUCUGGAAUCAUAUGAAGCCAUUAAAGCUAAGAUGUUAAAGACUUACAAUGAGUGCUCGUCCAAAUGCACCAGCACUAACAUAAGCCCAAGUCCCAGGAAGCAUCCCCAACCAACUGCGCAUCAAGUUGAUAAAUUUCUCACCAAUAAGAGAGACAGAACUCGAUAAAUAUAUAAACGUUUUAAUGGAAAAUCAGAAACCAACCUGCCCAAAACAUAAGGCAGAAACUUCACGGAAGUUAAGCCAUAGAGAUAGUUCCCAAGAGAGAAAGGAAGCAAAGGACUCAAUCGAAGAAGCGUAACGACCCAGAAACCAUUCUCCCCUAUUGCUUUAUCGAUUGCCAAAAAUUUCUUGUUUCCUUCGACCAAUUUAAGGAUACGUUCCCUGGCAAAAUACCUAGCGAUAAGAAAGGCCACAGCUGCAGCCAUCUGGCAAAAGUCAACGAAUCAUUGUGAGAACUUCACAGUUCAUCAGCUCAUCUAUCAUUUACUCGAUCAUCAGAAAGUGAUAUUGAAAGGAACUCACUGUGCCACUGAUUGAGACUAUGAUGGUCCCGGUGACGCUACCAAACAAUAGACCUGCCGACAUGGUUAAUGGUAUUGCUGGAAUCGCAAGGAUCUGAAGCAAGAAAAGUAGUUUGUUGUUACUGCUACAAGUAUAAGACGACGAUAUAACUACAUUCAAGAAAAUUAAAACUGCAAAUAUAUAUUUAGGUAAGGAAGAGUCAGAAAGAUUUUAGUGAAAUAAUUGGAUGUUCAAAGAUGUAUUACAAUAAUAAUAUGUUGAAAAAGCAAACUCUGAAGAAAUAGGAUAUUCCAUUUAGCUGACAAAUUGCAGCAGUAAAUUGCAAUAAUAAGCAGCCCAGCAAGCGUAUCUCACCUCCAAUCCAGCAUAAACAAGUACAAAUAAAGCAUAUCCAGCUGGACCAUAUCCUGAUCACAUAAAACAACAAUUUUUCAGCAGAUACAAGGAUAUGAAGUUCUAAAGAAGUGCACAGUAAAGGACAUGAAAUAAGAUCAUAUUUGUCAGAACACUUGUGCCACAACUGUUUACACAGCAACUGUUUCAUGUAACAUGCUCGCGAACUCUUUACACAGGAUGCGAGCACGUUACAUGAAAACCUCGAGCAUCAACAGCGAGAUUCAAAAAUCAUGGUCAAAUCAGGUAAUCCUCCAAUCAUAUACUCUGAUAACUCGACUUAUACGACUCCCAAGCAAAAUGUUUCAAACAAGUUUCCAUACUAGCUAAUAAAGAUCUUCACUAAAAGAGCCCUAAUAGGAUAAGUAAGUUCCAAAGCUAUUCAUUGGAAGGACCCUAACUAAAAGUUAACAACUAUAAUAAUGAAGAGAGUGCCCGAAUAUCACAUGAAGGAACAAUUAAUCCAUUCUUAAUCCAAAUUUCCAAAUUAGUACUUCAUUCUUCAGGGGUGAAAAGGAGAGCACUGUAAUGAUAACAAGAACAAGGUCUAAAUCACACAAAUCACAUCUUUCUCUGCUAAUUGCUACCGAAACUCGCAAGAUUCAGCUCAUAUUACGGCAAUUCAGUAGAAGUUUAGCUUCCAAAGGACCAACGAAGCACCCAAAAUCCCACCUUUACACAUGGACCACAAAUCAAACACCUUAUCCGCACCAAAAUCACGCCCGAACCAAUCAAUACACCAAAUUCCAACCCCAGAAUCUCAACAGGGAGCAAAAAAGAGAGGCCAAAUACCUUCGAUAAAAUCCGAGAACUGCGUGAGGAAGGCAUUAAUCUGAUCCCUGUACACAUACCCCACGGCCCCAAACCCUCCUACGACCCCGACCAGAAGAAGCCCCGCGAGAACCGUCCCGCCCACGGCGGCGCCGCCGCCAAGCUCGCCCCCCGCCUCCCCGUCGUCGGGGACGGAGCCCUCGCCGCGCCCCUUGCGGUUGUCGAACCUGAGGUUCUGGGGCACGUUCGAGGCCUUGCGGAGCGUCGCCUUCUUCGUCUCGCGGAGCGAGGCGAGUGGUCGGAGGCGACGAGGGCGCAGGAGGAGGGACGAGGAGGAGGAGGGGAAGGGGAAGAGGAGAGGGGAGGAGGGAGAGAGGGAGAGGGAGAGUGGGGAGGAGAGGGAGGAAGGAGGUCGCAUGGAGUGCAUUAUGCGGGGCAGGCGCAUAGCGUGUUGCGGUGCGAGGAGCUCCGCAGUGCCAUGCGCAGGUGUAACCGUGUAAGGGGAGGAGAGAGAAAGGAGACGAUAAGAGAGAGAGAGAGAGAGAGAGAGAGAAAGAGAGAGAGAGAGAGCCCAUGCUUUUCGUGCUACAUUGAAGAAUCAAAGCCCGCGAGACUGCAUCAUCUUCAUUGUAGUGGUGUGGUAGUGAUUUAUAUAAAAAAAAUCUGAGAUAAAAUUCAUAUUUUUAUUUAUUAUUUAUUUUUAUAGUCGUAAANUGUAACCGUGUAAGGGGAGGAGAGAGAAAGGAGACGAUAAGAGAGAGAGAGAAAGAGAGAGAGAGAGAGCGACGAGGAGAGAGAGAGAAAGGUUCGGGGAUUUUUGGAGAACGUGGUUUGUCCACGUGGCGUCAUCUUCAUUGUAGUGGUGUGGUAGUGAUUUAUAUAAAAAAAAUCUGAGAUAAAAUUCAUAUUUUUAUUUAUUAUUUAUUUUUAUAGUCGUAAAAUUAAAACUUUUAGGGUAAACUUUUUCAUCAUUAACAUUUUAUCAUUGAUAAAAUUACGAUAAACCAAAUAGCAGAAGUAGAUAUUUACAGUUAAAAAUAAUUUUACUCCUCUUCAGUUUCAGUGAAGCAAACACAGUCCAAGCAAAAGCUAUCUAGUUUUGAAAUUUGAAUUUUUAUAUUCAAAUUUCUUAUAUAAAGCUUACUUAAAAUUUGAUUAUUCAUAUGAAUUUGAAGGUGGCAGUUUCUUGCGCAAAUUCUUUACUCCGAAAAGCAUAAAAAAAAAGAAAUAUUUCAUAGAUAAAGAUCAUGGAGAUUUUAGUACAUAGAUUUUUAAAAGCAAAAAACUCUAAUUUAAUGCUUCUGCUUUUAUUGCAAUGAAAAAUGUUGGAAAUUUGAACUUCCUCAAAAAUCUGAGUGUGUUUGUGGCAAUCAAAAUGGUGCUUCACCAGAGAACAAAAGCCUUUCUUUCAAAAGUCUCUUCCAGAUUCUAGAAUGAGCUCCAGAAGAGUGGAAACUAGAAUCUUCAUGUGGUCCAAAAAAACCCUAGUUUUUGGCUACCAAUUGCUGUGGAGAUUAAAUCCUUGCAAAUGGGUGGUCACUAGAAUAAGCCCAAAUCUGAUUUUUAUUUUGUUUUUCUCAUAUUUUUUAUCAAGAUGAUUUUGUCAUAAACUGAACUUGUAACAUACUUUGCAUUGAACCCAUGCACUUCAGAUUUUUAAGGGGCAUUUUUGUUCAUGAAAUUAUGCUUUAAGUUCAAUCCAGAUCCAAAAUUGUAGAGAAAAAUACACACCAAAAACAGAAUCAGUGAAUAGAGUUACUCAGUUGUAAAAACCAUAUAGCUUUAACAAGAAGUACAUCUAAAAAAAUCCUCAAACUAUCAAACAUAGAAAGAAAAAAACAAAAAAAACCAAUACAGAGAGGUGAAAAGAAGGUAAAAGUAAAUUCAAUAUAAGAUCCAUUGUAUCAUCAUACAAGCAAUAAUACUCAAAGUGAAAGAUUUAAAUCUUUUCCUAGUGCACAUCAUAAGCACUUUAUGUAAAAUUGAGCUAUUGUGACCAAUUCAACAACAAGCAAAAAAAACAAAAAGAAAAAAAGAAAAGAGGGAUAGAAAAAGAUAACCAAGGAAUGAGUUUGCAAAUUCUCAUCAAUUUUUGUUUAACUUUUUUUUAUUAACUCAACAAAGAUACACACACAUUCAGCAAAUACCAGGUACAAAACUAGCUCACCUGAAUCCAACAUAAGUUGUUCUGAGCGUCGUUCGAUGUAGAACCUGUUCCUCAUUUCAACUUGAGAUUCGCGGCAGCGGCUCCAGAAUGUUCCAGUUUAUGAAACCAAGUUCUCUGUUCUUCAGAAGAUGCCUCGGGCGAGACGUGUUUAGUAUUUUUCGUAACUCUAUUCACUGAUUCUGCAGCGGCUUCGAUCUAUAAAAUAAGGAGAACGAAAAGAACAAAGAAACAUGUAUAAUUUCAUCUCGCAUUCUUGCUUAUUCAACAACAAUACACGAAGCUUUUUUGCUAUCGUAGGAAGCUGAGCCGAGCUUUUAGGAUCCAAUAAUCGAAGUUGUAGUUCGAAGAUUCUACUACUAGAUGCAUAGUUGUUACUGCUGCUUCGAACAACACUUUCGCGAUAUGCUAAAUGUGCAAUGUAUUUUGACUACAGGUACAGUAGGAAACAAGUGGCUAAGAAGAUAAUUACAAAAUAAUGCACAUAAAACAACAAAUCAUGCCGGGGAAUAAGAGAAAGAUGCGCGCUAAUGCAAAAAAAAUAUUGUGAUUAUGUACUUAAAAAAAGGAAUUUUGAAUGAGUAAGCUAAUAAACUGAUUCACAAUACCGAUUGUGAGGCGAUAUUCAAUAGCGAUUUCGCAAUGGGCAAGAUGCAGAACCUGCAAAUUAAAACACAAUAUGAUGCAUUAAAAUCGGAAAAGCUUUAUCGCAAGAGAUUUAAUUGAAGGAAAAAGAAAAUCUUAUAUAGAGAAUUAAACAAAGGUAAAAAUAUAUGGAUUUGCAAUGGUCCAUUCAAUUUUUUUUUCUUUUUUUUACAACUGAGUAAUUUUAGAUCAAUUGAAUAGACGAUUUCAUCGAAUUCGUUGGUGAUGCCAUUAGAUUAAAUAAUUUUAAACAUUUUUUAGAAAAAAAAUCAGCAUUAAUAGCCACUAAAUUGCACAUUCAAAUUCAGGCUUUUUUUAAUGAGUAAUUUUAGUCAACCAAGUUGAGGAUUUUAUCAAAUUCAUCAAAUUUUAGUCAACUUUUUAGCACAUAUAAUUGAAAAAAAAAAAAAAAAAACAUUGGUUAAUAGCUAAUAACAAGCCCAUUAAAUUAAUCAAAAAAUUUAACUUAGCUAACAAAACUUUUAACUUUAACUAACUCAAAAUAAAAAAUAAAAAAACUAAGAGGUAUUAAUAGUUUAAUACACAAAAAUUGUUCGAUGAGGGGGUUCCCAAUAAAAUCUACCAAAAUCUUAUAUAGAAAAUUAAAUAAUAAAUGAAAAAAGGGAGGAAAAAAAGUGAAAAAAAAAAUCCAAAAAUCGAACUAACAUUCCUCUUCCACCAGCUAAAGCCUCUUCCGAGGGAUCUUUCCACUCAUCAAAACUACAAAUUUACAAAAAAUGUAUCAAAAAUUAGCCAAAAAAAAUGUAAAUUAUGUAAAAAUAAAAUAGAAAUCGAGAAAUAAUUCGCGAGGGACGAGAGAGCGUACAUCCAACCGUAGCGCCGAUCAAAUAGGAGGCGCUUCGGAGGCCGCAUCGUGGCGCUCUGAUGCUCCAUGGACGGCUCUGAUGAGGCCGCGUUCAUGUCGCCCUCGACGCGCGCGCGCGCGCGCGAGAGAGAGAGAGAGGGUUUUGGGAGAGAAGGGACGAGGAGAUGAGGUUUGAGCCGGUUUAAAUGCUGGACCGGCCGGUUCGACAGGAGGUUACCGGUUCGGUUCGGUUCGGUUCAGGCCUUCUGGGUUUGGCAUGUGAAGAGCUUAAUCCUUACCCGGCCCAAAAUAUAUGGUCCAAUAAUGGCCCAAUUAAGGUUAUUGUUUGGAAAACUUCAAAUACCACCCCAUUAGUUUCACACUUUCUCACUUUAGUAUCAUGUGAUUUAAAAUAUAUUACUUUCGUACACUGUGAUUUUAUUUUUCUCUUUUUGUUAUCCUUUCCACUAUAAGGUGGGGUAUUUAGAGUUUUUUGUGCAUGAUUUAAUGAAAAGUUAACGAAGAGACUGACGAAAAGAGAAAAAUAAAACAACAGGAUACUAAAUUGAUACACUUUAAACCAUAGAUUAAAGAGAGAAAGUGCGAAAUCAUAGAGGUGGUUUUUUUUUUUUUUUUUUUUUUUUUUUUUUUUUUUUUUUUUUUUUUUUUUUUUUUUUUGUAAUGAUAAGCCCAAUACUUGAUAUAUUCCUCAAAAAAAUAAACUAAAAAAUCUUAAAAUCUUGAGUUUGUAAGUAAAAGUUUCGGUUUAAAGCUCGCUCAAUUAAAAGAUCUUUUUUUAAAAAAAAAACUUAACACUCUAUCCGCUUUAUUUAUUUGGAAAAUAAACUUAUCUAGAACAGAAACAAUUUGGUCUCGAAUGAAAAAAGAAACAAAAAAAUAGACAGAAAGAUGCCAAAAUAAAAAAAAAAUAGAAAAAAAGUAAAAAAUCUUAACUAUGAAGCAAUUUUUUUUAAAUAGUACUUUUGCAGAAGUCCCACUUAGGUCGACACAAGCGAAAGCUUACGAAAAGUAUGUGUUUUUGUAUCUGCAUAAUAUUUCAUAAAUCAUAUCCCAACAAAACAGAUACGAUCUGCAUAACAUAUUAUUAAUUAUAAAAUAGGGUUAAUUGUAUAUAGUUCGCUGUAAAUAUAUCAAAUAACAAAUAUAUUCCUACAAAAUUUAACUUUUAAUUUUAUCUCUACAAAAAUUCAAUGAUAUUCGUAUUGGCCCCUCUGGUUUGUUACCGUUAGAGUAUUAUUUAUUUUUUAAUAGCAGUUAAGUAAAAUAACAUUUUUGCCCUUACAAAUCUAUCCCUUCAAAAGUCUCAGCUGUUAGAAUUAUACAAAAAUAUCCUUUCAAAAAAAAUUUAUCCAAUAAUAUAAGAGAGGUAAAAAGGUCAAUUAAACUUAUUCACUAACCAGUUUUAAGUAAUUUACUCAUGAUUAACUAUAUUUUUCUAACGGAUCUUAACAGUAGGUGCAUAUUUGAAAACGAUAAGAUUUUUAUACGAAUAAAAAUAAAAAAUUAAAUUUUGUAGGAAUAUAUCUGCUAUUCAAUAUAUUUACAUAGAACUAUAUACAAUUAACCAUAUAAAAUAAAUAAUAUAUUUUUUUAGGCUAAAUUAUAGAAACCUUUCAUGUCAAAACCUGAUUUUUCACUUUCCUCCUCUGUCAUUUAAAAACCUACACUUACUUGUAAAAUGAAAAAUGGUCACAGAGGGGUACGGUGUAAACUGUGAUGACAAAAUUACCAUUUUACCGCUCACCAUUUUUGGCAACAGAAGAGAAAGCUGAGGGUGUAAUAUUUUAUAAAUGGAACCCUAACGGAUCACUAACGGUAGGAAGUAAAGUAAACAUUUUUUAUUUUACAAGGGGACAAAGUGUAGAUUUUUAAAUGACGGAAAAAAAAUAAAAAAUUGGAUUUUGACAGAAGGAUUUUCUAUAAUUUAGCCUUUUUUUUUUAUUGUACUUUUUAAUUCACAGGUAAAGCCAAACAAUACAAGAUUUGGAUAAUCCCUUCUUUGAUGGUUUCCUCUCCUUUCCUACUUACAUGCUCACAUGGUUUUCAUACAUUACUUCUCAUUGGGUUGCUUUUUUGCUAAUUAUUACUACAUGUGAUGUAGUCUCCAACAAAAGGAUUCUUGUGAGGUUAAGUAAUGGAAAAUACUAUGGGCUCAAUUUUGGGGCAAAGCACAUAGAGAUAAGAGUAUAAUAAGAGUAUCUCAUGCUUUGUGUAAAGAUCUUUAUCAAAAUGUACAUUAAAAAAAUAAUAAUAUUUCAAAUGGUUUGGAUAUAUAUGGGAAUUAUUUGUGGGUCGUUAGUUAGGUAUGGAAAAGUUGCUCCUCUUUUCCUUUUCCUUACUAAUGCCAUUAACUUGUGAGUGGAAUUUGACUUGAAUGUUUAAUGAUGGUUUUGACAAUGGGUGUGAUAUUAUUUUUAGGCAAGGCUAAGAUUAUCAUGAUUAGAUUUUUGUCAUUUUCUAUAUUAUUAGUUUGUUAAGCAAUUACACGAUUUCGAUUUGCUUUUUAUCUUUUUUUUGAGAGAUAUUUAGAUGCUAUCUGUUUCGUUUAUUUCAUUUAAAAAUAAACUUAAAUGGAAAUGUAAAUCAACUAGAAUUCGAAUUUAGGAUUUCGGAUACCAACCACCAAAUCCUUUUUCACUUGUGUUAAAGAUGGUCCAACUAAUCUAACGGUCGUCGUUGAUCUCGUCUUUAAUCACGAGAUCUUCUCAUGUGUAUAAAAGUUUAGUACACAGAACUGUAAAAAAUAUACAACUGAUUUUUUCUUUUAUUUGCUAUAAUUCAGAAAAAAAAACUUUCCCCACAAUUAUUCCAAAUAAUAAAUAAUAAAUAAUAAAAACAGUAACAUUUAAUAAAAAACUGUCAUAUUGCACACAAAUAUAAUAACAUAUUUUUUUUUAAAAGAAAGUAAUAUUACUUGUACACCUUGCAAAUAGUUGUAAAAUUCUCACUCUAAUUUUUAAAAUACUCCGCAUUUACUCACUUAUCUUGUUAUUUUUUUUAAAUACUGGAACUUAAAAUUUUUUCUAAAUUUAUAAAUUAUUAUUAUAAUAUUAUUUUAUAAUAAAGAAUUUUUCUUUUCAAAACUUAGAAAUGGUUUUUAUAAAGAAGCCUACGUGGAUUGCUGUGUACCUUGUAAAGUGCGUUCCUCGCUUUUAUGCUCUGCGAUCUUUUUCUUUCUACGAGCUGAUAAAUUGAAGAUAAUAUAUCCUUAUUUUAUCACGAAUUUAUCUCCCAAAAUUUAUAUAUUAUAAUAAAAAUUAAAAAUAAAUAAUUUGUUUAGAAUCCGUCCUAUUCUAAUAGAAAAAAUAAAACGGGAGACGAGAAAUAUUUUUCUUCUUUAAAUCAGUCGCGAUUCGAAUAAUUUAAUCGGUCCAAAACUCACUCUCACCCUAAUUUGCUAUAGAAAUAAAAAAUAAAAUAACAAUCAACUGAUUUUAUUCGGUCAUAAUUUGUCUCCAUUUCGCCCUCAGGUCCACUUAUGUUUAUUUUGUACUUAUUAUUCGAUUGUACAAAUUUAUAAUUUGCUUGGAUUCCUUCUAUAGAUAUUUUGUAGGUAUUAUUAAAAAAUGAAAUGCACAGCCAUGUAUGCUACAUUGAUAGUGACAUAUAUUUUCUAAACUCCUAUUCACUGUGAGACUCAUUUAAUUUGAAUGGUACUUUGUUAAGAGGUAUUUGCAUAGAUACAUGUGUUAGCUAUGCUAAAAUAAAAUACUUAUACAUAGUUUGUUGGAUGUUUAUACAUGUUAACAAUGUUCAAAUAAAAUCCACUUAUUCUUCUUAUAUUAAAUGUAAAAUUAUGUUACUGGUGAAUAAUGAUAGAGCUAAUAGCAGUGUUUAAAAGCUUGAAUUAACCAUAUAUAGACAUCUAAUUUUAUUGAAUAAGAAAGAAAGAUUAUAAUGUAUAUAUAGAGAGUAAAAUUGUGAUAAUUUUAAAAGUAAACAUUCUCCUUUAUCUUUAUAUUAUAUAAUUGAUGAGAUUAUUUGUGAGACCUCAGAUAGUACUGUAUAUGAGAUAUAAUAGAUUUUAAAUUUUUAACCCGUCUUAAAUAUUUUUUGUGGUGGUUUGGCACAAGAGGUUAAGAAAAUUUAGCGUGUUAGGACAGAAGUAGUUCUAGUAUGGGUGAUCUCCUGAAAAGUUGGGGCGUCACAAUUGGUAUCGGAGUUAAUUACCAAUCGAAAGUGUGAGAUGCGUCUCGACUGAAUUAGAAUUAUACAGCAGGGAGAGAGAGACUCUUAUACUGUUGACUGUUAUGCGUGGAGCGUAACUCACUAUAAAGUCGGUUUAGACUAGCGAGAUGAGUCUCACAUCACCUGAUAUUUAUGAGUCUGAGCCUAACGAGGACUUCAGGGCUUAAAGGAAGAAAAAUAUGAGAUCUCAGAUAAUUCUAUAUAUAAAAUAUGAUAGGGCUAAAACUAAACCGAUUUAAGUAUUUUGGAUGGUGACUAGGUCCAAAAUGUUUAGAGAGUUAAAACCUUCUAGAAUGUUGGAGCGUCACGUUAUUAAAUUAACGAUUGAUUGAUACCGCAUCUUUAUAAAAAUUAAAUUUUAUAAUUUUACGUUAUUAUUUAGUCGUGAUCAAAUGAUUUAAAAUUUAUCUUAUUUUUUUAGCCAUUAAAAAUUAUUAAUUUUGGACUACUUGAAUAUUCCAUAAAAAUUAUUUUAAAAUUAAAUUUUUUUUAAUAGUGUCAAUAGUCGAUUCAUAUAAUCAAUUAAAUUAUUUAUCUAAAUAAAUAUAAUUAAAUCUCUGACAUUUAAACCUUUUUUUCUCGAGAUAAUAAUUUCUCCAAUCAACGGCAAAAUUCGAUUUGUCAACCGUUCCUCUCGGAAGUUAUUUCUUGCACCCGGUUCACCAACAUUACUUGUGCACCACCUUGAAACAUUUAAAUGGCUGAAACUAUCGAACGGUUGAGAUUAGGACUCGUGACGAAAUGAAAGGUUGACAGGGGCGGGUGCACGAGUUAUACGGAUGAACACGGUCCAUCCAUAUUUCUCCACCCUACAACGAUAAAUUAAUUUGCUAUGUACUCACGAUAACUCCCCGAUAUUAUAUCAUCGUAUACUCUCCGCCUCUCUCGUUCCUCUAAUCCUCUUCGUCCCAAACACUCUCUCUCUCUUAGGGUUCUCCGAAUCUUCCUGGUUUCGAUCCGUUUCUCUCCUCAUCCUUACCCUAAACAUGGAGGAAUCCAUCGAUUUCCCGGAUUGGGAGCUCCUCCAUGGCCCCGACGCCGCCCCAGUGAGCCCCGCCGCGCUUGGCGAGGCGAUCGAGGCCGAUUCCGACGAGGGCGGCGCGAUCAAGCCCGAUUACUUCGCCCUCGGCUCCGAGGACAAGUACCCUGCGAGGUCCGGCUCUGCCAUGGCGAAGAAUCGCGAGGAGGAAGAAGAACUGGGGCUCUGCGACUCGGAUAACCCUAGCUGGGUCGACCCCGAAUCGGACCAUCGCAAAGGCAAAUCGGGUUUUUCCCGUAUAUCGUUCCCGCAGAAGAACCCGGGCGCGUUUUGGUCGGACGAGUCGUCCGACGAGCUCAGAUCGCCGCCGAGUAGCGAAAGGCGAGAGCUUUCGUUUUUGGACGAGUUCGAUGUUGAAGAGAAAGCUGUUGACGUUGAAGUUGGUAAGGAAAUUGGACGAGAUGAGGUUGCACGCAAGGUGUUCGACGAAAUGGGUAGCAAAAAGAUCGGUUCGGUUGCGAAGCGGGAGGAGGGAGGGAUGGUUUGGUGGAAGGUGCCCUUGGAGUUGUUAAAGUUCUGUGUUUUUAGGAUGAGACCCGCGUGGUCGAUCCCAGCGGCCGCGGUGAUACUAGGGUUUGCAGUGCUGGGGAGGAGGUUGUAUAAGAUGAAGCAGAUGAAGAGGAGCAUUCCACAGCUCAAAAUCAGUCUCGAUGAAAAGGUGUGGUGUUUUGGUUUCGGCUUUGGUUAAUAGUAAUUGCCAUUUAGACUAUUUCCUAUUAGAUCCCUCAGUUCCCGAGUUCAUUGCUUCAAUUUUGCACAUUCACUGUUUUAUGUCUCAUCGGCGCACGCAACAUGUCUCACCUAAUCUCUACCAUGCACGUGAGUGGGAUUGUUUCCCUAUUAGAUCGAUCUUUUGUGGUAAUUAUCGCCAUUUAUUAUGACUAAUGACUAAUGUUGGAGAUGGGUAAGGACUAUGUUAUAAAUAGAUUCUUCUUUUAGCUUCUUUAAACAAUAUGGUUCGAUGAUUCAUACACUGCAAACUCCCUAUUAAAUUGAUCUAACAAUUAGGAAUCAGCAGUUCCAACUACAAAAUUUCAUUAUAAAUUAUGUCUACUUAAUGUGGGAAGUAAAGAGUUGUGGAGUCGGCACCGUUUUGUUAGUAUUAUGAUUGAGGUGAGAUUGUAUGAUCUAGGCUCAUCUUUUGGAGCUGUGGUAUGGAAUUCAGUAAAUGCUAUUUUAAUUAUGUUACUAAGAAAUGGAAUUAUUACAGUGUUUUUUUUAUCGCUGCACAUGGUUUUUCUAUUGCUGUACAUGAAUGUGUUGAACUUUUAUAACUCCAGAGACAUACCUAGUAUUGUAGGUCCCCCAGGAGUGCCUCUUUUAUUUGUCGAAGGUAUUUGCUUAGCAACAUACAGUAUUUUCGAUGAGUUUAUAACUAUUUCUUUCCUGUUGCUUAACUUAUUUGUCGCUUAACUAUCAUACUAGUGUCCUGCGUCUUGUGAUUCUUUAAUCCAUUUUAUUGUUUGCAUAUUUCCUCUGACUUUCUCAUGCGACAAGUCAAUUUUCAAGGUAAAAUAUUCAUCGAUUCCUCGCUAAUAGAUGAAUUAAAUGUGUAUGGAUUUUGCUGGAAGAUUUUUUAGUACUAAUUUCCUUUAUACAAUAUGUCCAUAUCUAUAUGAGGUGCUACUCUAUGUUGUUAAAAGCUUAAUCUUGUAAUUUUCCUAUUUACUGUUUAUGGUGGAUUACUCCGGAGAGGAGCAAAUAACUGCUUGUAAAUGUAGUUCAUCGGUUUGAUUCUUUAAUUAACCCCUUCUCUACUGUGUCACAUUUUGCAGAAGGCGUCGCAGUUCAAGGCUCGCGUCGCCCGUCUCAAUGAAGCCUUCUCUAUGGUGAGGCGUGUUCCUCUCAUCCGAGCUCCUCUUCCUGCUAGUGGAGUGACCCCGUGGCCCGUGGUGGGGUUCCAAUGAAGAGUGUGUACAUCCGUACAUCUGUGCGCUGCUUUUCCAUCGGCCGUUGAUCCUGUCUUGUUGUGUUUAGUCACUGCCAAUCAAUGAGUCUCAUCCCUUUUCCUUUCACAAAUUGGAUGGUUCGAUUAAAACUAUGAGAUUAGAUAGAGGGUGGAUGGAAGAGCGGUGUAUAUAUUUAUAUAUAUCUUCGACCAACAAUCGGAUUAGGAUGGAUAAUCCAAUGGAGUUCCAAGUUACAUAAAUCUCUCUCGUCCCCAUGUCUCUACAAUACAAAGUCUCUACUUAUAGGCCACCAUUGCUGCUUCUUUUUUUUUUGUUUGUUCUCUCUUUCUUUUGCAGCUCUUAUGAACUAUAAGCUUCUAGAUUGCGUAACCAAUGAAGCGGAUACUACGUUGUAAAUCUCCUUCAUUUGAAAUUUGUAUGUAUUUCAGAAAGGAUCAUACUAUAUAUGUUUGAUGCAUUUUCUCUCAAAAGGUAUUUGGAAUCUUUGAUGAUGUGAAUUAAAGUAGUGCUUUUCCGUUAAGUCGAGUAUCGGAGUGAAUAUCGCGAAUUCUCGACAAUAUCGCGAAUUCUCGACAAGAAUUGGUGUCAAAGAGACAUGUUUCUGUUGUGACUUGUGAUGCUCUGAUUUUCUAUGAUGAUUAUAUUGUUGGAUAUUAUCAUGUUUUUUUCGUAUUAUUUUGCUCUUCUUUAUCAGAAGUGAAAUAUGAGUCACCAUCCAAAACUGGUGGUAUUGGAUUUCUUUGUUUCAACAUAUGUAUGAAUGGAAAAGAUCUUUUUUUUUUUCCACUUGCUCCUCUAUUUCCUCAGUAAAAUUUUUAAAUUUAAGAAGAUCUUUAAUUUAAUUAAUCAAAGUUAAUUGAAAAUUGAAAAAACUGGGCAAUUAAACAGAAAAUUAAUCGACAGCUCUACAUUUCGAAACGUAAUUUUGUUGAGGGGUCUCCACGCAUUUUCGCCCAACCUGUUCUCCAUCUCCAGAGCCGGGCGCAUGCGGAUGUGCUGACGUGGAAGAAAAUCGACCGUCCGACCAGCCCUCCAGAAAUCUCGUCCCUCGACGGAGAUCGGUUCCGCCGUGAUGAACGGUUCGAUCGCACCUGUCCGCAUGCGACUCAAUCCGGACCAUAACAUACGGGGCAUCUCCUGCUCCUACCCUUCUCCCCGCCCCGAAUUCCCUGCACCGGGUCUAUCCGUACAUCUAGUGCACCUACAUGAUCAAUACAUUAUAUUUAUAGACCUGUAAAUUUUUACUUUCAAAAAAGAAAGUUGAAAAUUUAGAAAAAAAAAAAGAUGUUGAAAAUUUGGGAUACCUCUUCCAUUUUAUUUUUAUUUUAUUGUUAAUACUUAAUACCAGCCUAGUAGUAUAAAAUAUUAUAUUUUAUAAAAUUAUUUUGUAGGUUAAUAAUAUGCUGUAUUUUAUUAUUCUGUGAUCUGUAAAAGAUAAUAUUUACUAGAAAAUAAAUAAAUAUAAACAAUUAUAGGGUAGCAAAAUUAAAACUUCUAUAAAAAGAUAUAGAGUUGUUAAGUAAAAAUAUGUAAAUCCUUUAUUUAUAAUGCAUUUUUUUUAAAAAAAAUUAGGUGUACGGUGCACCGGGUGCAUGCACUAAUUACUCGACCUAUAUAAUAGCGUUUAGUGGAGCUAUAUUAUUAUUUCCUUCCAAAUAGCGCGAGGCGUGGUGAUGGUUGGGGAAGCGCUUCUAACCACCGCACUUCGAUCGCUCUCUCCUUCCCCAAAUCGAUUGAUCGAUCGAUCGAUCGAGGUGAUCGAUCGCCGCGUUUCUCGUGCGAUUUCUUCGAAUCCGCGGUCGAUUUGAUCCACCGGUUGAGGCAUUUGAUCGAAUGGGAGUGCGCAGGUGAGGCGGAGAUGCGUGGGUUUUAGUAGGGUUUUGAGGUGGUGAGCUUUUGGAGGAGAGGGGGAGCGGCGGGAGAUGGGGAGGGUGAAGAGGAACAAGGAGGAGAUUGCGGAGGAUUACUGCUUCGCUUGCAAGGAUGGGGGCCAUCUCCGUGUCUGCGACUUCAAGUGAGUUCGAAUUUGCUUUGCUUUCUUUUGUUUUUUUUUUUUUUACUUCAAAAAGAUCAGUAUAUAGUUCAUUGGAUUAGAAAAGAUUAUUAUAUGUUUAUACAUAUAUGAUUCUUUGUUCCUGGUGUGAAUGUUGUAUUGGAGAAUUCUUAAUCCUAAGUUUGUGAAUGUGUGCCCCAAACGCGAUUGAUUUGAUGCUUUUGGGCAUUUUUUUGGCUCGCAGUAGGGUUUAAUGAAGCAUUGUCUGAGUAGUGCUUUUAAGAGAAGCACUAACUGCGGUAUAUUGAGAUAUUGUGUAAAGUUUCUUUUGCGGCAGAAUUAGAAGCUCAGAAUCGCUUUCCGCUGCUCGCUGCAGAAUAAGUUACUGAUUUUCUCAUUACUGAAUACCCUGCUAUUGGCCUUUUUGCAAAAUAAGCAUCUCGAUAAAAAGUUUGUAGCGAAAUAAUUUUACUCAAAAAGAACUUAGUAAACUAAGCUUCUGAAGAUGGAAAUGCGGUGUAUCAUUCGCCAGCAUUUAGAUUUUUCUAUGUUCCUCAUAAGCAUUCCUAUGAGUAGUUAAAUGUGGUAAGUAUUUCUAUGAGUAGUUGAAUACGAUUAUCAUGUUAACAGGAAUGCGCAGCUUUUUUUUUUUUUUUUUUUUUUGCACAUAUGGCAGUAUUUAGGACAGUUAGAACUACUGCUGGGUAUCAUACUUCGUGGAACAACCUUGUGUUCUGAAUAGCUUUUCCUACUUAGUAACUCAGUACUGAGUUAUUUCCAAGAUGCCUGACAUGUGAGAAAAAAAAAAGGAAAAAGAAAAAAUUAUAAAGAUGCCUAAGAGGUUCACCUAACAAAUUGAGUUGCUUCUUCAGUAAAAAGAAUGAUAUGGGAUGUAUAAUGUGUAGCAAAGUUAGUUCGAAUAUGUGGUUUGUGAUUGCUUUUGAUACCUAAUGUGUGGGAUUGAUGUGGGGAAGUUCUUCAGAAUAUGAAGUAUGUGAUUAUUUGUGAUUCAUCUGUUAUCUGAGCAUACCAUGAUCUUCUAUGGUAUCGUCUAAUUACGACUUGAAUAACGUAUUUUUUUAUUUGUAAUAUAAUUAAAAAAAAAUUUCAUUCUCCAGGAGCUGUCUGAAAGCUUACCAUCCUCAAUGUGUGGGAAAGGAAUCUUCUUUCCUUGAAACAGAUGAACAAUGGAACUGUGGUAAGCACUAAGGACUUGUAUAUAUUUUUAUCAUAUGCAUAUUACUGCAGUAAAUGAACUGAUAUAUAUUUCCUCAACUUGGAUAUGCACAAGCACAUGAUUUCAACGACUCACUCUGGUCUUGCUAUGCACAUUCUUGAAUCAUGACCCACCCCAAAUGUCUGAAUUCCUUGAUUGGGUUAACUUGGUCAAUAAGACUUGGGUUGGUUGAUUAAGUUAGAUAUUCAUCUAUACAUCUAUUACCUUUAUACUAAUAGAUUGUACAUGGAAUAAAUGAUGUUAUACAUCAGGUCAAUUAGGUGAAUUAGAUCCAACAUUAAAUCAGAAUCAUAUAUAUUUUGGUGGGUCAAUAUGAGUUUUGAUUAUAUCAGAUUUGGUCAUGUUGAAAUUUCUCAACUCUAACCCAAUUUUAACUUCUAAAAUGUUAAAGUCAUUAUGCUCAAUGCAAAUAACAAGUUUAGAUGCACGGUUCAACCAUGUUGCAGCCUCUAUAUUAGUGCUUUCUACAGAUUUAUCUGCCUUGCAUCGACUCAGACAAUUUUCCAUUACUUAUGUUAGUGAAGGAUUUUACUGUUCAGAGUUUGACAACAUUUGCUUCAUCUAAAAUGAUUUCAGUAUCAUAUAUCUCAUUUGGUUGUAUGUUGCUUUGGAUCCUUUAACCUGUGGACUUCAUUUUGAUUCAUGAUUCCUUUUUUCCAGUCAUUUAAGUUGAUAUAUUUGCAUAUUUAGUAUAUUCAACUUGAUAAGGUUAUUGACAGGUUGGCACUCGUGUUUUAUCUGCAAAAGGAGUUCGUUUGUGCAAUGUUUCUGUUGUCCGAGCUCUGUGUGCCGCAAAUGCAUCAGAGAAGUUGAGUUUGUGCAAGCUAAGAAAAAGACAAAGGGCUUCUGUAAUAAUUGUUUAAGGCUGACAAUCUUGAUAGAGAAAAAUGUUGAUGUUGAUUCUGAUGGGGUACUGUAUCAAAGAAUCCUUCUUAUAACUUUCAUUUUCUUCCUUGAUUUCUAUUAUUAUGUUGAUGGCUUCUAUCAAUUGUCAAUGAAUUAUGCAUGAUUUUUUGCUAAUCAAAGACUUCAGUAAUGCAUAUCCAUCUAUUUAUUUUGUGAGGCCCAACAAUGUUGUAUUGUACUUUGAAAUUCUUUGGAUUGACAAUUCUGACCAAUACAUUAAUUUUGCUAGUCUGGCCAUGCUGCAUUGUACUUUGGCUUCAUAUUUAAUCUGCGGAUGUUAUUGGCAUAAGUAGACUGACUACAUGUAUAUUACACGUCUCUUUUGCAUCAUAAAGUUAGUAGAUUGACUGUACAAGACGUAAAGGUUAGGUGUUUGUUGCGAUUCAGUAAAGGAGAUAACUUUUCAAAUCAUCAGGAUAUUCUUUUAAUUUUCAAAAUUCACGAUUUGCUUUUCUCCAUAUGUUGUGAUUGCUCUUAGUUUUGUCCUUUUCAGGGUAAAGUUGAUUUCAAAGAUUCAGAAACUUAUGAGUUUCUGUUUAAGGACUACUGGGCUAUAGUAAAAGAUAAGGAACAUUUAUCAUUGACUGAUCUUCAAGUGGCCAAUGCUCUUCUCAAAGGAGGUAAAAGCUAUACAAGUGAAUCAGAUUCAGAUAGGUGUUCUGUAGAGCAGCAAACGUAUGAGGAUGAUGACUUGCAAGAUAAUUCUGAUGAUGAGACGUCCUUUCUUGCAAAUCUGAAAAGGAAAAAGCGGAGGAAAGUAAAAGCACCUAUUAAAAGAUGCAAGUCCAAGAAGAAAACCUAUGUUGGGUGGGGUUCGGAAGAGCUAAUAGGAUUUCUUUCAUCUAUCGGUAAGGAUACAAAAGAACCUAUAACGCAAUUGGACGCGUCUGAAAUUGUAAAGGAUUACAUCCAAUCGAACAAUCUUUUGCAUACUAAUAAGAAGAAAAAGAACGUUAUAUGUGAUGAGAGGCUUCUUUCCCUAUUUAGGAGGAAAAAACUGAAGCUUCAUAAAAUCUACAGCUUGCUGGAAAGCCACUUUGCUGCUAAUGGUGAUUCAGAUGAUGAAAUUUCACUCAGUUCAGAAGAAGAAGAUAACAUGGUUUUACGGGAGAAGAAGAGGAACAUCAGUUCUGAAUUCAAGGUUAAGAAAUCCAAUUCAAAUUAUUACAGGGAAAAGUUUUUGGGGUCAAUGAAAAGUUCCUCUGCUUCAAUUAUAGAAGAAAAUAUUAAGUUAGUCUAUUUGAAAAGGUCUUUAGUCAUUGACCUUCUGAAGUACCCUGAAAACUUCGAGCAAAAAGUUGUUGGCUGCUUUGUCAGGGUUAAGAGAGAUCCUAAAGAUUUUUACAACAUGCCGCAAAAAGUAUACCAGCUUGGGCAGGUUAAUGGUAAGUGUUUAAUACACGAAGUUCACCAAUACCUUUUCUUGUUUGAAUGAGAUUCUUCUUUUAUAAGACCACUUCAUGUUAGUAUCCUCUUUUGAUUCUCUUCAGGCAUUGUUUCAUUAUCAUAACAGGUAUUAAGAAGGUUACUGAGACUUAUAAGAUAGGGGAGUUGAAAACAGAUGUCGUACUGUGUAUUUCCAACAUGGUAAAAGACGUUCAAAUUUCUAUGCUGUCGGAUGAUGACUUUGAGGAGGUAUUUAUUGCAUAUGGUCAUCUACCUACUACACUUUUAUGUAAUUUGGAAACAUAAUAAGAGUAGCCAACAAAUAAUAAUUUGCUUCCAUCAAAUUCAUAAAUUCAGACUCUUUUUUUUAGUAAAAUAUUUUUCCUUGAGAUCUGUGUAGAUUUUAGAUGUAUGGCAUGGGUUUGGUAGGUACUUUUUUUUAGCCUCUUUUAUUUGUUCGUAGAACGAGGUUUCGGAAGAUGUUCCUUUUUUUUUGUUUCCUAUUCUGCACAGAACACCAUAAUUUCCUUUUUGAGAUUGCCAAUAUGGUGAAAUGAACUCAUUUUAUGUUCUUGUUAACAGGAAGAAUGUGAAGAUCUCCGCCAGUUGGUGAAGGAAGGUCUUUUGGAAAGGCCUACUGUUGUAAGUUUCUCUGCAGAGAACACUAUAUUCUUGCAAUACAGACAUGUUCUUGUGGGACCUGCAUUAGUGCAUAUGGUUUCCACUUUUAGACUUGUUAAUCAGCAAACACUUCAGCAUGACUUCUAAUUUCUCCAGCAUGUAUCAUGAUUAUAUACGUCUGUCUCUUUAAGGUGGUUUAAAAUUGGAGGAGAAUUUUGGAGUACCUUUAAUUUAGAUUGCAAUACAUUGGAUUAAACCAAAUAGUUGGGAAAUAACUUGCUGUCUAGCAUCAAAGAAUCUUAAAAACAGAGAAGAAAGCAAGCCAUGAUCCUUGCAUCAAUCAAAUGCUACCAUACAAAGUACAAAUUGUAUAAAGAAUGCUGUUAUACUCUUUUUUUUAUUGAGAGAUAUGCUGUUAUACUCUCUAAUUUUACAUCACUGUUGAUAUCAGUUUCCUUGCUGCGAUAUCUAAUGCAGAAGUUGUCGGCUAUUAGCAAUUCUUGUAUAACUUUCAUCACAUAAGUAUAAUAAUAUUCUGAGCCAUCCUCCUUUCAACAGGGACAGCUUGAGGAAAAGGCGAAAAGUGUACAUGCGGAUAUUAUAAGUCAUGUAAGUAUUUUUUUUAUUUAACAUGGUUUCAAAUAAAGCAAUUGUUCUGAAAUUUAUUUUCUUGCUGGAGGCUAACCAAGUUUAUUCCUUUUCAGUGGAUUGAUAGAGAACUUGUGAGAUUGCAAAGGUUGAUAGAUCAAGCAAAUGAGAAGGGUUGGCGCAGAGAAUAUCCUUUAAUUUCAGGAAAAUGAGUAUUGGAACUUUUUUUUNCGGGGGGGGCGAUGGGAUUUUCUAUUUUUUGAAUCUUGUAAUCGUAAACCUGUCAUAAAUUGUGAGGUAAUAUAGGCAAUAUAUUUCCUUAACCUGUGUUGGAUUUUAAGCUGUAUGAAUGCAUUGAUAAAAGAGAGCUACUUCGGACACCAGAAGAAAGACAGCGACUUCUUAAAGAGAUACCAAAAGUAAUUGCAGACAUAGAAGGAGAAAUUAGAGACACAACCUGCUCAUCUGAAGAUCAUGAAGAAACUAAACUGUUCACCUCACUCUUUCAAUGUUACUAUUGUUUAAUCUCAAUGUAUUCUUUUUGAUUAUGCACAUAUAUUGCUGAUUGAUAAUUGCUCCAUAACGCAUGUAAUGAGAUUGCUGAACAGUUUAGUGUGUCAUAGUUAUCAGGAAAUUACAUUUGUUAUGAACAGGUAGAACUGAUCCAAUUUCUUUUAAAAAGAAACCAUAUUGACUAAAUAUAGUUUGGAAUCAGGAGAGUUUAUACUUCUAAUGUAGCUAUGGUAGUAACUUCGAUAAAUGAACUUUUGGAUGACAUAAUUGGUGAGAUAGUGUAGGAAUAAAGACAUAGUUGCUUCUUUUCUUUUCUUUUUUUUUUGUCUCCAAGCCAUUUUCUUCAGGAUUCACGAAUUUAUUGCUUUGGAAUGUAAAAUCAUUUCUAAUACCAAUUCAUUCUUUACACUUCUCAGGAGACACUCUUUUCACUUGAAAUAUCCGAAUCUGCUACUGCUCCUUGCAUUGUUUAAUUGUUUCUGCUUACUUUCGUAACUUAUGCUUCUUUAUAGUAACCCAACUUCUAGAAACACAUUGCUGUGCAGCAAUACCUGAUAUUCAUUGAAUAUUAGCAGCUUGGCAUUAUAUAGAACUCAUAUACGGUAAAUUUUUGCUAAAUACUUGUUUAAAUGGUUGCAGAUGGAAAUGUCACCAAUGUGAACUCUCCGCAAAAAGUUUCAGGUCCAUCAAUCUAAACAUUUUCUUCUCCUCCCCCUGUAAUUUGCAAUUUACAAUUAGUUUUUGCUGUAUGAUAAUUCUGAAGCAAGUCAGCUUUUGAUGGCUGAACAAGUGGAGAUGACUUUACCCUUAACUAAUAUCCCAUUGUUCUCCUAACAAGUUUGAUUUGGUUUAUCCUGAUAAGAUAAAUUGUGGGGUAAGCUAUCAGAAAGGCCGAUUUAGGCUCUGAUGUCGUAUUUACGGAAUUGGCGCUAAUAAGUACCUCUUGUCGAUAACCUGUACUGCUUUCUACUUUCUAGAAAUCAAAUUUUAGUAGAUUUUGAUUGUAUUGUGGAGUAAAUAGAUAAUUUUACCACCAUCAACAAAAAAUUUAUAUGCCCUGUCUAGGGGGAGUAGGGCAUUAAAUUCAUCUUCAAGCGAAAAUUCUCCUCUUUGAAAUGAAGAAACAUCAUGCCUGUGUUUAACUUUUGCACCUGUGCAGCAGUGAAAAGAGCUGACUCCGGCGAAAAUGCAGCAGCAGAAGGACCUGAAGGUUUGUUUGUUUUUCCCCCCCUACUGUCCAGUCUAUUCUACUUGUAAUUUAUAUUAUUACUGCUACCCCUGUUAACACCAUAUUCAUGUUAAAUAUUCCACAAUGCUGUGAUCCUUUGAUGUUCUGCUGCAGAAACCAACCCACGUAAUUCGAGCUUAUGCAAUGAGAAUUGCGACGAUCGCCAUAAAGUGAUCGAAAUCGCAGGAAGCAAAGAAAACCCAAAGCGUAACAAGGCAAGAAAAGCGCUAGCUGUCGACCUAGCCGAAGAUGAUGACAGCUUGAUUACCUUGGAGAAAAGCAAGCCCUCCACAACCUUCAAGGUGAUAUCCAAUCAAGUGAUCUGCGAGAGCGACACUGUGUGGCACUACAUUGACCCGCAAGGAAAAGGACAAGGACCAUUUUCAAUGGCCAUGCUAAGGGAGUGGAAAGAAGGCGGUUUCUUCGACAGUAAUUUCAAAGUUUGGCGAACAGGCCAAUCCCCAGAGAACUCCAUUUUGCUGCGAGAUGCGCUUCGACUUACUAUAAAGAUCGUCGACUAGGGAUAUAAAUCUAUAUAUAUAGUAAUGUGUAAAUCCCGAACUAUAUGUUACUAUCUAACCAUAUUCUGUAGGCUCUAUUCUGAUCUUAUGUAAAGUGCUAGUGUUAGCAUUUGUAAAGGAAGGGAUAUUGGUUUUGUUUGGUGGUCCAACCUGGGGGAUUUUUUGGCAAACACAACCCUUAACAAUUCUGAUUCUGCAGCUUUAGUCCAGCUUUUUGUAUUUUUGUACUUUUGGACCAAAUUUCUCUUCUAUGGACUGUAAAUAUUGCUAAUAUUCCUCGUGAUGAAUGAAUAUAUGCAUUAAAAUUUUGAUUUUAGUGCCUUUUUUUUUUAUGCAAGUUGGUGGAAAAGAUUUGAGAAAAGUAUAUGAUAAGCAAUUUAAAUAUAUUGGUGCAAAAAAAAAAAAAACAAUGAUGUCACAGAGUAUUGGCGUAUAAGUAUUUUUAUAAUUGGCACGUAUCGGAACGGUCAUUGAAUGCUUCAUGCUGUAUUGUGCCGCGACACUUAAAUCUUUGGUGAAGAGUGUAAAUAAAAACAGAUACAAGUUUCAGUUUCAAGAACUCUAUUCUAUGCUAAUAAGUUUACAUGUUUAAAUCGUAACUCUUGAGUUGUAUGAAGAAGCAUUAAUAAUUUUUUGGGGGCAAUUUCAAUCUCUAACAAUUUUUUAUUGCAUUAACGAGAAAAAUUAAAAAUUUUGAACUAUAUUUUCUACUUUGGAAAUACUUUGGGUCUCAUUAAUAUGUUGUUGAUAUAUUGACAAAUUUAUAAGGCAUUUUAGAGUACAUGCAUAAAUUAAUCGAUAACUAAACAUAUCGUGUAUACCAAUAUAUCAACAAACAAUAUAUGGAGCAUUUUUGGUAGCCCAUGUAUAUAGCCACAUAGAGUCGGCUACUAUACUUUUAUUCUAGGGGAAACUUCAAAUACCUCCAUAUGGCUUCGUACUUUCUCACUUUAGUAUCCUAUGGUAUAAAGUUAUCAAGUUAGUACCCUAUGAUUUCGUACUUUCUCACUUUAGUACCUCGUGGUUUCAAGUGUAUCAAGUUAGUAUCCUAUGGUUUCGCACUUUCUCACUUUAGUACCAUGUGGUUUAAUAUUUCGUUAAAUUAUAUACUCCGAAAUGGAUAAUAAAAAGAAAAAAUUAAAACCACAGGGUACUAACUUGAUACAAAAAUAAAACCACAUGAUACUAAUUUGAUACAUUUAAAAUCACAGAAUACUAAAAUGAGAAAGUGCGAAACUAUAUGGUACUAACUUGAUACACUUUAAACCACAUGUUACUAAAUUGAAAAAGUGCCAACCACAUGUGGUAUUUGAAGUUUUUCCUUUAUUUUAUUUCUUUUUUCUUAUUUUGCUUUAGGACAGCUAAUUAAUCACUACAGUUUCUCACUUGAAUGCACAUCAUAUAAGAUGUUGCUUUUGAAAUGCUAAACGUUGCUUUUGGGAAUGGAAAAGGUGUUUAUAAGCCAAGUGAAACAAGCUCUGACACAUUCAAUACGGAGGGGCAUGUGCAUGGAAAUGAAGAACAUACUAUAAUUUAUUAUUCAUCAUAAACAUGAAUCACGAGUUUUGGAAUUAUUAUCAUUCUACAAAGAAUUUUUUUUUUUUUUUAAUAAUUGGCAAAUUUAUAUGGUGCAUUAACUGCUAAACCGGUUAAAAACUUUCAUAUUAUGUAUGAUAAUACUUAUAAUAUAUGAGAACAAUAUUUAAUUUAAAGGUCCGUUAUAACACAAAACAAUUAUUUUUAAGCUUCGACAGAAAUAUAAAUCAAAUCAAAUUAAAUAAAAAAAAACUAAUUAAACAAACCAAAAAAUUUUAGCUGAAUAAGAUCAUUGGCUUUUAAUUUAACACCAAACUCUGAACACGUUUACACAAACUAUUGACAACUAAAAAAACCGCCACAUUAUUAACAUGAAAUAAAUUAAUAACUAUUGUAUCUUUAUAUCUUUAAGAAGUAUUAAUUGGGGUUUAGUGAGUAAUCAGUCUAAACCACACAUUAUGACAUGUUCGAAAAUUCUAUAAUUUUAUAGUAUUGAAAUAUUGUAAUAUCAAAAACAGUGUUCAUAUUUACAAAAGUGUAUUUAGAUUUUUUUUUUAGAGUACCAAAAAAGAGUAAAAAUAUUUUAAAAGUACCGUGAAUUAUUAUAACAGUAGAAAAAGAGCAAGCCUAUGCUCUAAAUUUGCUUAUUGUUAUAAUUAAGCAUAUAUCGUAACAUAUAAUUACAUUACAAUAAUAUUUUCAAGUAUCCAAACAGUGCCUUAUUAAAGUUUAAACCUAAAUAAUAACAAAAUUAAAGAUUAAAAUUGUUUGGGGACCAAAAUUAAAUUCACCUGAUUUUUAAAUAUAUAUAUAUUUAUGAGCAAUCAUGUGAAGUAGGUGUUGAAGUGUUAACCCACCUCAUUGUCAUUGAGUGCUAGAUGUCGCACAACACACGCAUAGAUACAUUAUGCGUUGUCAACGUACAGUGGUAGAUAAAUGUACUACACACUGUACUAUUUUUGAAAAAUUUUAGUGCACCGGGUCCACCACGUCAUCCAUAGAACACUAAAUCCUCUCUCUCUCAUUACCGUUAUUUCCAUCUCUACCGCAAUGCCAGGGUUUGCAUUCGGCUCGAAAUGAGCUCAAAAUCAAUCGCUCAUUUAAUAGACGAGUCGAAUACGAGCUCGGAUCAAUUCGCUCGUGUUCUAUUUCAUUAGAUUAAAAUUCUAAUUUUUUUUUCCGACUUUUCGCCUUCCAGUUGGACCGACGUACUAACUUAUAAUUCAUGAGUCAGUUCGUGUUUGGUUCGUUAUUAAACAAGCCGAACACAAGUUAAAUUUUUCAGUUCGAUAUUUUAAUGAGUCAGCUUAUUUUCGACUCAUCUAACAAAUGAACGAACACAAGCCAGUUUCUCAACUCGCUCGUGUUUAACUCGUUUACAGCCUCACGUCACACUAUUCUAAAAUAAAAUAAAAUUUAAUGUAUAAAUAAUUUUAAUUUUUUAUACAAAAAAUAUGAUAAUUAAUAGUAGGUGUCUCAAAAUUGUUAUAUUUAUGAAAAAUGGGAAGCCUUAAAAGCACAUCUAAUGUAGUAAUUUUUAUAUCAACUUGACAUGUUUAGUGCAUCUAACAGUAAUUUGAACAUAUUUAUUCCAGUAAUAAUUGAUAAAAAUCAAAUUUGCGGUCUACGGAUGACGUGGUGAACUCAUUCCACGCAAACAAUUUUCACAGAAUUUUCUCUCUCUAAAUUCUCUCUCUCUCCUCAUUCCCCUAUAUUUGGAUCCCCUAUCUCCAUUAAAACCGCUCUUCUUUUCCCACAAAUUCAUUUUUAGUCCAAUAAAAAAUAUAAAAAUAAGAUUAAAAUAUCUUUUUUUAGAAAAAAGAAAAUCUUUUUUGUUCCCCAUUUCUCCGCGAUUUCCUUUGUUUUGUCACCCCAAAAAUCCCAUCUUUUAACCCCAACCCUAACCCUAGGCGUAGCCCUAACAAUGGCGAUCCCCAAAUCGCUCGUCUCAAUCCUCGCCAUCAUCGCCAUCGUGGCCCGCGCACUCGGAUCGGAGGCCCCGAGCGCGUACGAGAUGCUGGAGCGAUUCAACUUCCCCAGGGGGAUCCUCCCCGAGGGGGUGCGGGGCUACACUCUGGGCGAGGACGGGGCGUUCGAGGUGUACCUGAGCGGGGAGUGCGAGUUCAAGGUGGNAGGAGCGGAUCGCGGGGAGGGUGGCGUCGGGGUCGCUGCGGGAGCUGAGCGGGGUGAGCGUUAGGGUUCUGCUCGUCUGGUUCGGGAUCGGCGAGGUCGUGCGCAGCGACGCCGACCUCGACUUCUACGUCGGCCCCCUCUCCGCCUCCUUCCCCGUCUCCAACUUCGAGGAGAGCCCCCGAUGCGGCUGCGGCUUCUACUGCGCCCCACCCUCCUCCUCCUCCUCCUCCUCCUCGGCGGCGGCGGCGGAGGCGUAGAUCGCGGCGCCGGAGAAGGGGGAGGGGGAGGAGUCGAUUAUUACGUCGUCGUCCUCGUCGUCGCCGUUCCUUUUUUUCGUUUUUAUUUGUUUAUUUAUUUAUAAUUUAUAUACUUUGAUAGAGUGAAAUAAAUGAAUUUGGGACUAUCGUGAUAUUAUGAUGAUUUGGUCCCUCUAUUAGCGUUUGGUUCGUGAUAUUAUGAUGAAAAUUGGAUUGUUUCUGGGAUAAGAAAUAUAGUGUUUGGAUAGAUAACAUUGAAUAAGAAAAAUAGUGGAUAGUUAUAGGUAAAAAAUAAAAGUGUUAGUGUGGAUAGUUAUACCAGAUUAUUUUAGAUAAUCGAGAAUAACUAUUCUUCGGAGAAUAAAAAAUUAGCGUUUAAGUAUAAAGGCAUGAUUUUUAUUUUAUAUUUAAUUUUUGGAUAAAAAAUUAGUAUUUGGAUAUGAAGGCAUGAUUUUUAUUAUAUAUAUAUAUAUGAAUUGUUGUAAAGGGAGUGAAACUAAGAAUAUGUUUGUUUCAUUGUAAAAUUACAUUUUUUUUUCUUUUUACAAAUUAAAAACUAGAGAGCAUAAAAUUUAAUUUUCUCUAAAAUUGUUUUUUCUAUCGAAAUUUUUUUUACAAUUUUACGUAAAACCAAACACACCGUAAGGGAUUCUACAUAAGAGUGUUCCAGUUUUUUUUUUUCCUUUUUUUUUUUUUUGUGUAAGUAGUAGAUUAAGCCUCUGAACGGAUGGAUAAAGCGACUCUGUGGCCUGUGCGAGUCCUACACGUAAUGGAAUUUAGGAUGGUGGAGUUGAAUAUGUUUGAAUUUUGAAGAUUAGAUCAAUGCGCGAAUUUUAAAGCAGUGUGGACUUAAAAUUUGAUCAUGUUUGACGCAUAAUACACGGAUCAACUUUAAGCAGCGUGAACGACGAAUUGGAUUUCUCCAUCUCCUAUCGUGGAGAAAAAAAUUAGGGGAACUUUGUACGCAUAAUUUGAUUUACUCAUAAAGCUAAAGGGGAAAAAACCAAAAGAGAGAAUAAAAACAUUUGCUUAGAUCCAACAAUACAAGCUUUGGAUUCAGUUUAGGUCAUGUUGGGCCGAGACACGCGCACUAAUAUGCGCAGAACGCGCUUACACGGAAGUAUGUAUCGAUAUGCUUUUUCCGCGCAGGCGCAAAUGGAGAAAAACAAUAUAAAAUGCACCGUGGAAAAGGCUUAUACAACCCUUCCAAAAGCUUUAAAAUUCGCACAAAAAUCAAAUGGAGAGAAAUAGCAAAUGGAGAAAAACAACAUAGGAUGCACCGCAACACGGCGAAAAGGCUAUACAACCCUUCAAAAAGCUUUAAAAUUUGCACAAAUAUCAAAUGGAAAGAUAGCAACUGGAGAAAAACAACAUAGGAUGCACCGCAACACGGCGAAAACGCUAGACAACCCUUCAAAAAGCUUUAAAAUUUGCUCAAAAAUCAAAUGGAGAGGAAUAAUCUUUUCCGCUUUUGCUGAUUCAUACGAGUUCGACUGAUUAAAGAGCAGCAAAUAAUGCGUAUAGUUCGACACUGAUAGUUGUGUAUUUAUCUCAAGGAAAAUGCAUAUACAUAUGGUGAGUACAAACAAUCAAAUGGUCAUCUAAGGACCACUAUACAAUCAGUUUGUUUUCUUUCUUUUUUCGUUUUUUUUUUUUUUUUUACAAAGCAACAACUCAAACAACAAUUACCAGAUUGACUAAAAUAUGAAGAGCAAACUACAGAACAGUUGCACACAUACCUUGGGACGCCGACGCCACUGCCAAAAACGAUAAAUAGGAGCCGACUCAUAAUUAGAUAAAACUGAAGGGCUAAACAGAAAUAAACACAUUGUUAUCAUUUAUCAAGAUCUUCCCCUCCCUGCGCUGCCGUGCCGUUGGUUGCGGAAAUAGCUGAGAAGAGCAUGCGCCUGAAAAGAAUAAAGCACAACAGAGCCUCAUCUCAGUGCCUGCAUCAAGCCAUUUAAGCAAUCUGGGAACUCAUAAAGCUCCAAAAACUCCGAAGAGUUCUUAUUUAGCUAAUUAGGAACAUUUUCGAAAAAGUUUACGACUCCGCUUUAUUUGGUCCAUCAAAGGUCAAGAGAUAAGGAAUAUCAAGUUUGGUGAUCCUUGGGUAUGUUCAAAUUUACUUCUUCAUAGUCUGAACACCUUACUAAAUACGAACUUGGAACUUCAAAGAGACCUAAAAUUAACCAGCCUAAACUCGUGCCCAACCUGAUCAGUUCUUGCUCUGUAUAAUGUCGAGUUGGUUUCAGGUUGCAGACAUUUUAAACUCAUGCAGUUGGUCAGGUUAGGAUUAGAUAAUUCACACCUGAAUAAUAUACCAGAUACGACCAAGUAUAUGCCUAACACCCAUGGUUAAGAGGAAGAAAGUCAAAAAAGUUUAAAGGACCUACCAGAAAAACGUGUAGUUGUUUUAAACUUUUCCUAUAUGCAAUCCUUCAACAAACUCUGCAUUUCUUGGGUGUACUUUUCCAAAUAUCUAGAAGUCAACCUUCAAAGAAAGUCCUCUUUGCUUUCCGCAUCAUUUGAAAUAACAUUCCACUAGCAAAUUCCAAGAAACUGCUAAGCAUGCAAAUACUUCAAUGUGCAUUCAGCAAAUUAGACGACUUCUAUGAUAGACUUUGUGAACUAAAGCCGGAGUUAAAAAAAUAGAAAUAAAAUACUUGGCAAGACCUAUGUGCAGAAUGAAAAGUUAAACAUGUGAACUAAAAUAAGAUUCAAGAGAAAAAGGAAUGAGUAGACCAUGGCAUGCAGGAAGUAAGAUAAUCACAUGGAGAAAAUAAAUAUAAAUAGGGGAUACAAACGAAGUAUAAUACCUUUUCUUUUGCACGUGCAGUGCCUGACUGCGACAACACGACUAACGGGGGAACAGCACCUUCCUGAAGAACCUGACUACAGAACCGGUUACUAUUAGUGCAUAGGUGAAGCAAAGCUGCAGCGGCAUUUUCCUUUCCCCUCGCAGAACCCAACUCGACAACCUCUACAAGCACAGGAAUCCCACCUGCAUGGCCAAUCGCUGUCCUCCCUUCCGGUAUAGUAGCAAGAUUCGCCAAAACAGCCACGGCUUUAUCAACCAUCCCAGCAGCUGGGUCCAUAAGCUCUACUAGGUGCUUAACGGCCCCGGCCUGAACAAUUCGAGCCUUGUUUUCAUGGAAUAUGGACAAAUUAAACAAAGCAGUAGCUGCGUCUUUCCUUCCUCGAGGAGUCCCGUUUCCCAAUAAUUCUACUAAAGGCACGAUAGCCCCUGAUCGACCGAUCCUAACCUUGUUUUCUUCAAUUACUGAUAGGCUAAACAGAGUUGCUGCUGAGUUCUCUUUUGCUUCAGGACUACCUGUUUUGAGGACAUGAAUAAGAGGAUCAAUGGCGUCAGCACUGGCUAUCGCUGUCUUAUUAUUAUCAUUGAUCGAUAAGUUCAAGAGGGCAGUUACGGCAUUUUCUUGGGUCUUGGGAUCAGCAGAAUACAGAAGGCCAACUAAUGGGCUUACAGCUCCGCAAUUAGCAAUCACAAUCCUGUUCUCCAUGUUGUGUUUAGCAAGAAGGCGAAGCUCUGCUGUUGCAGCUCUCUGCACUUCCACAGAAUCGUUUUUCAGAUCCUCAAUCAGCUUCCGAACUUCAGUUUCAACACCGGAGAGGUCAGGUCGGGAAUCCAUCUGCGACGAUACAAUUCUAGGGGAGAACCUAUCAGAUGGACGGCGCCAAAUUUGACUUCUUCUAAGCGGAAAUUCAGGUUCUCUUGGGGGUGCAGAAGAGACAUUUUGGGUUUCUUGUGAAACUUCUCCUGAUGUAUCACUGCUAUCAUUACUCGAACCCUCACUUGAUACAGGAACAGCAUUGCUACUCGGAACAGCACUUGAGGCAGAAGCACUACUGUUUUGACCCUGAAUCUGCAUAUCCACAUGAGAAGCUCGAAAACUUUCCUCCUUCAGUUGGUUUGAAGUUUCGCCGCGAGAAUCAGUACACCUACUUUGUUCCAAACUAGAUUCUGUUUUUGCUUCAGAAGUGGCUAAUGAUAAACUCGAAAAGUUUUCCUCGCAUCCGUUUGAAGUUUGUGAAAUGGAGAGUCGCUGAUGGGGAGAUGUGGGACUAUUAGAUUCAGGUGAACUUGGACAGUCAGCCCUUUCAUUAGGGCUUGAAUCUACUAGAAAAGCAGAAGGAAGACUCAAAUUCAAUGAUUUCACAGGAUCGGGCAGUUUAAUGUCAUUUGAUUCACACCAGUUGGCAAUCAAAGCUUUGACAGUGUAAUUGGGAAUCAGGUUGGUGUGCACUAGGGUUUGACGUGUCUUAGGGCAAACAGUUAAACCCAGAUCAAGCCAUUUUUUGAUAAAGGCCCGCUCGUACGUUUGUCCUGAUGCAACAAUCACCGGAUCAGACAUCAGUUCCAAGGAGAGCGGGCAGCAAAAAUCAGCAGGGAUAGGUAUUCCUUUAAUGCUGAGUAACUGUUUUUCUUUAACAAAGCAAUCAUGCAUAUGGUUGACAAGUGCAGUUACUCGGUCAAUAGUAUCGAAUUCUAUGUGGUUUUCGCCUCGGCCACCCUUUGUUUUAAGUUUCUCGAGGGCAACAGCCUCAAUCAAGAGUUCAUGAUUUGUUGACAAGCUAAAAUGGUUUGAAAUCUUUGCCAGUUUUUCAGGCUUUGGUGUUGCUUUCCCUACCAGUUCUUUUGCAGCCUCCUUAAUGACACCACAAAUUUGGUCAUUAUGCAUCCGUUGAAGUUUCUGCAUUCGACAAAAGUUUCUUCAUGAUAAAGCUGAAUUCAAAUAAAAAGCUAAUUUAUGCUGAAAGAUAAAAGGGGAAAAAAGUUUGAGCUUUAUCAAAAUUGCCGUUACCUCAAUACAGGUUGAAGAACAACUGGGCACCGGUGGUGGAACCGAAGAAUUAACAUUUAGGCAUAUCUCUAGGGCAUAUGUCUUAAUCUUUGUAAUUAUGGGCUCAAUUUGCAAUACCUGCAAUGUAAAUCAAGCUUUAGUUCAUACCAAGUACUUCAAAUUGCCUAACAUUAAAACUUUCAUAAUGCUAGACAUGCUUUCUCAUGUAAGUCUCAAUGAUGUACGGGUGAUUCCACUUAACUACCAAACAAUCUCAAAUUUCAAACAAAGCAAAAUCAAGAUUAGCUUCCUAACAUUUCCAAAAGUUCACGAGUAUUCAUUUAUUUGGUAAUCAUAUAUCAUGAUUCCUCUGCUACAAAAGGAAAGACGAUUCAAAUACAUUUAUGGCUUCUUGAAAAACAAAAGGAACCAAUGUGCAGAAAACAUUAAAACAUGUACCAACUGAGCUAGAGUAAAGCUGUCACUAGUUACCCCGGAUGAGAGAAAAAGCAAUAUGGCAACAGGCAUUUCUGAAAAUACCCACGGCGCAUACAAGAUGAAAAAAAUGUGUAAUAAAUUAAAGAAAGAUCAACAGACUAGGAAAUCAUAAUAGCUGCUUUUAAAAAUGUGAUAAACAUAGUAUUACAAUCUACAACUUCCUGUUGUAUCUUGAAAAUGGAACAACUGGAGGUUGAGUUUCUCACAAAGGAUAAUAUAUUUUUUGUAAGAAAUUGGCCUGUCCUAGAAGAUCUCUUCAAAUAAACCACGAUAAUGUUUUUCAUCUGCAGUAUUUAGUAGCAAAGAAGAAAAGUAUAACAUAAAUUUAUUUGGAAUUAAGAUUUGAGAGGUCAUCAGGUAAUGGGGACGAUAAAUAUCCAAAAGUUAUCACACGAAUCAUUUCUUACAACAGGCAAAUAAAACAAAAGAAGCAAUUGAAUAUGAUAAAAUGAGCAGUUCUGACAUACAAGAAGAAUUUUGCUCGACAUCUGGUUCCAGCUGCCAAUAAUUUCCUGAGCUUCAUUGAUAACAAAGUCCAGUUCUUUAAGCACAUUACUCAGUUGCUCAUCUAGAGACGCCUUACAGAUGACGUCAUCAAAGACAGGUUUCAGAAGAUCCAAGAUCUCUUUAAUUUUUCGCCAGUAUCUGUGGACUAGUUCAGUUUUAACAGCAUUGCUGGAUGAUAGGAGGGCAAAAUUUGAGAUGCUAUCAAGCAACGUUUUCAACAAAGGUAUCUCCAUAGGACCUGUUUCAAAGUGCAUACAUGGUGAUGCUUCAAAGUCAAUAAACUCAUACAUCAGCUGAGAAUGGGCAUACAAAUUAAAUGACUUUAACAAUGAAUCCAACAGCAACCGUGACUUAGAAAUAAAUCCAAUAACCUAACAAUUUAAAUUAGACAUAGACAUGAGGAUUCAUCAACAAAUCAGUAAAGGAUAAUGGCAGAUUCACGAUAUAAAGAGAGGGAUGAUCUCACCCAAGAGAUCACGCAAUGGGAACAAACGGAUGUGGGUUAAAAACUUGUCACAGUAAAUGUAUCACAUAAAAUUAAUUUUAUCAAUUUUUGAUCGACUUACGUCUCUAAUUGAAUAAAAUUGAAUCAAUAUAAGAAACUUUGGACUAGCAUUUAGACUAUAAAUUUACUUAAAUUUUCAAUGGUUCAGCAAAUUUUCCUCACAUUUUCUAUCUCGUUAGCAGUCCCAAAUGAAAGAUGCUCUAAGGGCUACUUUAUCCGUUUCCUCAAUGGACAAUUAUUAAUAAGAGCGAAUUCAUCUGAGACCCAAGACCUCUACACAUUCCUACAGACCCUAGAUCUCAUUAUUAUUAUUAUUAUAAACAUGACAGUGCGGUUGAGUGCGAGAAUCAAAUGUUGUAACAGCAUAUCAAACCAACCAAAGGAGGGAAAAUCCCAAAAUGAGAUUAAUAAUAGAAACAAAAUACAGGUGCAUACAAUGUUUAUCCCUAUUGUCCAAACGCAGUCCUCGCAUACUAAACUGCGAUCUCAUGCAAUUGUAAAUAGUUUCUAAUGCACAACAUCAUAAAGAGAACAAAAACCUCUCCUCUAAUCAAAUCCGUGAAAUUAUUCAAAGUAGCGGUUUUGAUGCAUAUGAGCGAGCAAAAUUCGAGCUUUGCACAAACGAAAUUCCCCCAAUCACCAACCCACAACAUCAAUUAGAACAAAAUUACGGACGGAACAUAUAAAAAAAAGAAGAAGAAAAUCUAAGUAGACGAUACCUUGCGCCGCGAGAAACCGAAGAAGCGACGAAUCCCGUGGGAGAUCGAGGACGAGGAGACGGAGAGACUCCCCUCAGAAGAUUCAAAAGCGCGUAGAAAGAGAUCGGAGAGGAGAACGGAUCGAAUUUCUAGGGUUUCGGGGGGGAGAAAUGGGGAGAGUAAACCCUAACGGAAGAGAGAGAGAGAGACGUCGAAGAGAGAGAGAGAGAGGGAGAGAGAGAGAGAGAAGAGGAAUGGGGAAGAAGAGGGAGGACGCGGAGGAGUUGUUUUUGGUGUUGUUUUUGGUGUAGGGAUACGCGCACCCACUCUUGGGUGCGGGGCAGGUAUCCACCGUCCAAACCGCGUUAGGAGCAAGGCUAGCACGAAUCCUGAUGCGCCGCCCGGUGUCGCACGUGGAUCUGUAUGCGGCCGCGCUCGCGUAGGACAUUAUGGACAUUAUUAGACGGACGCGAUGGGAGGAGGGUCUCUCUGUAGUAGGUCUACGGAAGGAGAUGUUUCCGUGAACCGUGUGCACCACGUCAGCCGAGCACGGAGUAGGUAAAAUUAUUGCUUUGGGCUCGCAACGCUGGUACAAUUAUUUCACCAUGCUUCUUUCUUGUACUAGCUAAGUCAAAAACAUUGACACCUAAUACGCAUUAAUAAUAUUUGUUUCCACAUCAUUUUUUUUAAUUUUAAAAUUAUAUCUAUCAUAAUCAACCAAACAUGUCAAGUUGACACCACCAAAGUAUCUCAUCUUUCUGAAAUUGGUUUUUACAUGGAGUUCAAAAAAAAAAAAAAAAAAUUCCAAAAGACUAUGAUCUACAAUAGUUGAUUGUUAUUUUGAUUAACACCUGGUACAUUUCUAGGAAAAGAGGUUUUAAGCUCCCAGAUUCUCAAUUUUAGAUGUAAUAGAUUCAGACAGUUCUUGGGGGUUAGGAGACAACAAACAACUUCUUUUUAAAAGAAAAAAAUUAAAAUAAUAAAAAAUAUUUUUAUUUUUUAAUGAAAAGAAUUACAAGGCUAGGGAACAAAGUAAACAUCACUACAGAGUUAAGGGCAUAAUAGAACAAUUUACCCUUCAAAGCCUAGUACAUUCACAGGUUGUGGCACUUGCAUAGUUGCAUUCAACUGUACCAGUUACUCAUAGAGUACCAUCAAGCAGUAAAACAAAGUGUUCCUGAAACACUGAUUACAAAAACAAAAAAGAACCCAGAGAGAGAAUUUUUACUCCAAACAUAGAAGGAUAAGGUUUGGUGGUCCCUGGAAUAGGUUGGUUGGGUUAAGUCCAUACUAGAAAGAUAAGAAUCAUAAGAUUACUACUUAUUUCAAACAUUCACUAUCAACAAAAUUUCCUUUCCCACUAUUUUUUCCUUGACAUUAAUGUGAUAUCACAUCCUAAAAUGUUGAGAUUGUUUUGUUAUCAAUUUUGUGUGAAAUAGCUUUUAUACAAAAGACUUUCUUUCACAUGCACCUUUUUCUAGGGAAGGAAGGGCACAAAAGAAAAAGGAAAAAGAUAACAACAAACUCAAAUCAGACACAAAAGGCGAUGUAGAUGUGCAGGGUUUUCACAACUAGAAAAGAGAUAAAGAAUAAUUCACACCGACUACUGCUUGAAUAGUUCAUACUUGUUCCCGAAACAACUCAGUAAAUGACAUUGCUGUACACUGGUACUGAUAAUAAUAGAAGUUAAGCACAAAAAAUACUUUAACGAAAAAAGGGGAAAGUAAGGGUCCGUUGCAUUAACCUUGAAAUAGAGCUCGAGAAGUUGAUUGUUCAUUUCACACUGAACAAACCCCUCAGAGGAUAAGGUGAGAUUGGAAGAGGUGAGAUCACGUGGAACGAACAUUGUGCGUCCGAGAAGCCCAAAUUCCAAAGAUAAGAAACCAAAACACGAACAGGAUCGCCCAAUAUCGCGUUGCUCCGUACUUGAAUCUAGGCACAACCUGUUAUGAGUACAGAAGAGGUUCGAGAACAUUGCCGAGAAGAAGAAAAAGGGUGAAAAGGAACCCCUCAAUUACAUUGCCACUUUGAAAUAGACUACCCACUGUACACCUUAAACUAUUAAAUGCGAGAAUAAAUCAAGAUAAAAAAAUUGUGCUUCAUUGGUUUACUCUUUUCCAUGUAAUACACGAGAAAGCAUGGCUUGCAAUCCCGCUUGGAAACUGAAAUAUUUAUAACAAUAAGAUCACAUAGAACUUUUUAGUUGCAAUUUACUUACAAAUCUAAGGAAGAUCACAACCGUCAGUGCACAUAAACCUCCAAGAAGCAUCUGAACACCAAUUUUAGCAGCUUUCUGCACACCAAAUCAGAAUCAUUUGUCAUGUAGUGAAUAGAAAAAAAAGAACAGAAAUAUAUGCAACUCACCCAAUUUAUCAAUAGUUUAAUUAUUGAGAGUAAAUUCUUUUGCACCUGGGAGCUAGAACAAACUGACAGGACUUGAAAAAUGUAUGCCGCACAACGAGCAGGAGAUGAGUUACCACAAGUUAUGAAAUAUAAUGCUUUGCUAAAUGUGCUACUGACUCUAAAAUGGAGAUUGAAUUCAGUGAUAGGUGCACUUCCCGAUAAAAACAACAGAUUACUGAUGCCCUAGAUUGCAGAUUGAGGGUAUAUGUCAGCAUUGGUUCGGAUUUUCCUUUUCCAUAGUAUCAAGCUGUAAAUGUUAGUAAGAAUUCUUAUACAGCUCUUGGAACUUUAUAAGUUCCACAUGUGGAACCUUCGGUCUUAUGCAACACUGAAGAUCUAUAUAAUGCAACAUUCGUAUCUCACAAUCUCUUAUUAUUACAAAACAAAAAUCCUUUUCGCUAGCAAGUAACAACCACAGCAAAAGCAAAUCAUGCACUAUCCUGAACACAAAAGAGACAUACCCCCCCGAAAACCAUGGUAAUUUCUAAAUUCAAACUAAACCAAAGGAACCAAUAAAAAAGAAGCCGACCAAAAAGUGCAUCUAGAGUAAAAGCAUCAGCAACCCAAAUCCAGAUAGCAAUACAGUGGUGUUCUUUUUUCUUUUUCUUUUUCCUUGUCAUGGGAGGAGUUCCCUCUCUUUUGCUUCCCACAAUUACCAAGAUAAUAACAAUAGGAAAUUACACCUUCGCGAACAGACCGGUUGUCUCUGAUUCUAUCUUAUUCAUAUUUUAAUCUUCAUAACUUUCUUGUUUUUGUAAAUAUUCUGUUAUUCUCUUUGACAUUAUUCUCUUUCAUUAUUCACUGGCAAACAGAAAGGCGGAGGCCAAGUAGGGGACACAUUAGGGACAUAGCAGUAAGUAGGUAAGCCUAUUUUACUUCAAUAUUCAGUGUAAGGCAUCAACAAAUGAAAAAUGACGAUGUAGCCAUGAUAUAUUAUAGCAUAAGAUGACUGAAGUAACAAGCAGAUAGCAAAAAAUGUAUCUAGAAGCAGUUACAUUACCACAUCUUAGAAAUAAACAAUUAAGCAAAACAAGAACAUGCAUUGCAACUUUACUGAAUAAUUACUACCAAAUACUGCAAUUUUAUCAGGGGUGAAUUCUUUUUUCACAGCUGUGCAUAUACAUGUAACAUUAUACAACAGAGAAGAGCAAUGACAAAAGAAAAAUGCAUGAUCUAGUGAAUAAUUUCAUAUACAAAAGACUAUACAUUGUCAAUGAAAACAUACAAAAGCAGGCACUGUUAAAACAUACCUUACCAACACGAGGAGCAAUUAACCAAGCAAGGGUCACAGUAAGGAGGCCUGUAGCAACUAAAACUCCAGUACCUUCCAAAGCCCAUUUAGUCCUUGAAUGAUCCGUAUCAACAACAUUCUCAGUUGCAUUAUUAUUUGGGCUGGUGGGCAUCUGCUCCAUUGGUUCCUGUAUAACUGUUACAGAAGUAUUAUGUGGGUUGAACCACAACGAAAUCUCACUAAGCCUUUGUCUCCUAAUUCCAGCCAGGGCAUCUGGGUCAACACCUAUGUUUGCCCCAAGAUGAAGGGGAGUCACUUCACCUGUAGCAGUUCUUUCCCUUAACGCAUCAUAGUCCUUUAAUGAAGCUACGACCUUCUUGACAUCUUCAAUCCUUACAUUUUUAGCAAGACUUCCACAAAUCUCACAUAUAGUGGACCCAUGGCUCACGAACCACUUCAAUGCACAUGCAUAAUGGGCAAGUGACAGAUCAUUUUUGCAUGAACAGCCCAGAUCAAUCAGUGAGUCUUGGUUGCAAUAAGACCCAGAUUCUAUAUCGGCACUACAUAUAAAUACUUCCCCUUCGGGGCUAAUAAACUCGACAAAUUGAGGAUCUCUCGCACAUUUUUUGGAAUUGGUUUCAUCCUCUUCAGAAAAUUUCCUGGUAAUAUUAUCACUUGAAUUCCUUACAUCAUUGAUUUCUGGUAAUUCUUGGAUUGGCAGUGUGAUAUCUAAGAAGCCUAAGGCAACGUCACCCCUUUGAUCAGAUUCAACACAGUGGCAGACUCGACAAAGCAAGACACCCGCAUCCUUAUCUGUACUAGAACUAGAGAUACUUGAAUUCUGUCUAUUAAUUGAAGAGACUAAAUUCAUUUCUUUGUUUCUGCCGCCAUCUAAUUGUGCCUGUUCUUCCUUGAGGCCCAUCGGAAUGUUCAAUAAUUUCUCCAAGUGCGUAAGAAUGGACAAGACUUACUACAAAGCAAGUAGCCCGCUUUAUGGUGUGCUCAGAGGAAAUAGAAUAACAAACUUCUGGCAUUCCUACAUGGCAUAAGAAAGAAGAACCUGCUCUUGUCAGGGUUUGAUACAAACCUUGCUAAUUGCUACUAACCUGAAGUUACAGAUUAAUCCAUUCUCCAAGAGAUCAUACAUGCUUCUUGAUCCAAUAAAUUAAAAAGCAACUUAUUCAAGCAUGCUUCCGGAAUCCAACAACAGUACCAGAAGUCGCUACCCUGUUUGUUGCUGUAACUACAACAGAAACAAAAAGGAAACAACAGAAAUGGAAAAAGAAGAUUAUUACUCGAACAACUAUUGUAUGCAUCAGCAGCAACAAGAUAGGAAGAUCAGAUUUUGCAAAAGUUAUUUAAGCAGGAAAAAAUCCUGCUCAAUAUGGUAAACAAAUACAAGGUACAUAUGCUUUCAAUUUGAUAUAUAGAAAAUAGAUGCCUUGAGUGCUUCACAUAUUUGCAUAAGGGCAUAAUAAUCGUGUUGAUAAAAACAAACAAAAUAAUAGUCAUGAAGAACUAAUCUGCUGUGACUCCUCACCAGUCAAAGGCUUCAUUUGGAUAGUCGUACCCCACGUUGUGUUGCAGCACAUGGAGCAUUAAGUUCGUUUACAAAAGCACCUACGCAUAUGCUUGUGCAAAUGUAGGACGCAACACAGAAAUUACCACAAAAUGGCUAUGCGGUUUUUGUCGGGGCGCUAAUCGCACUUAUCGCCAAACGAUCUCCGCAUUACCACGAAGCAUACAAAACGGAGAAUCAGGCACCUAAACACAGGGCCAAACGGAGCCUAAUCAUUCAUGUUGAUUGGACCGAAUUCUGCGAUUUUUGUAUAUUUUUAUACUAAAUUAUGUUUAAUUCUUGUCGUUCCCAUGCUUAAAUACUUGAUCAUUCUCUUGAUGAUCAAAAUGCUACACCAGCAUUAAUUGAAACCCUGUGAUGAGUUCAUCUAAUAUGCUUACUCAAAGUAUCAACUUGUCAAAGAAACUAGGGUAGAAUCUACUACUCGUCGGCAAGCAUAAAACCGUAAAAAACCCUGAAAAAACUCGAAUUAAACAAAUCAAUUUGGCUAAAGUGAGAUAAAAUCCAAUGCCGCACUGUGAAUCUCAAUCCCAGGUAGGGCAGAUUCCCCUCAGAUUCAGCAGAGACCGAACCAAUCCCUUCCAAUAUCAAACCCCAAAUCAUCUUGCGAUACAAAAUUAACAACUAAAUCAAAACACUUCGAUCGUAGUUGGUUGCAAGGGAGAAACUUCGAUGAUCGGGGAGAGAAAUUACCAAAUUCAAACGGGGGAAUCGGGGGAACGAAGGGGGGGCUCCUCUGGGGAGUUUCGUCGCACUCGGAAUGGGAAUUAGGGAUUUGGGCGAAACCGAAGAUUGGAGAAGAGGGGGAGCGUGAAAAUUUGGACUCCUCUGGAGCUCUCGAGCGAUGAUGUGCGCUCGGAGAGAGAGAGAGAGAGAGAGAGAGAAAAGAGAACCAAAAAGUGCGAGGGGUUGGACACGUGGCGUUUUCUUCGCUGUGGAGAGAGAGUAUAUAUAUGUUUUUCUCUCCUUAAAAAAAAAAAAAAAAUUCUUCAAAUACGACCCAUAUUAUCUCGCACUCUAUAACUUUAGUAUCCUAUAAUUUAAAAUAUAAUAUUUUAGUAUUUUAUAAUUUUUUUUCAUCCUUAUUUUUGUUAAUUUUUAUUAAAUUAUAUACAAAAAAUUUUAAAUACUCUACUUAGAAUUUAUCAAAUAUUCAUUUUAGUAUCGUGUGAUUUAUCGAAUUUUCACUUUAGUGCACCAUAGUUUUAAGCUUUGUCGACAUUGAUUUAACGAAAAAAUUAAUAUAAAGAAUAACAAAAAGAAAAAAUUAAACCACAAAAUACUAAAGUGAGAAAGUGCGAAUAUUUAAAUUUUUUUUUAAAAAUAAUAGUAAUCGGUAUAUUUGUAGCAAAUUUUUUUUAUUGCCAGAGCAAAUAUAUUCAAAUUAUGAAUAGGCACAAUGUAUCUUGUCCGAUAAUAUCAAAAGUGGCUUUAAAUAUAUCAGAUAUAUUUAGAGCAAAUUCUAUUAUUAUCUGAGCAAAUAUAUUCAAAUCACAGUUGGAUAAAAUGUAUAUGCUCUAGAUAUAUCAACUCCUAAAAAAUUAAUAUAUACAGAGUAAAUUUUCUAUUAUCAAAGCAAAUAUGUUUAAAUUACAGUUAUAUAUAAUGUAUCUGCUCUGUUAAUAUAUUUAAAAUAAAUUUUACUUUUGCGAGAGCAAAUAGAUUCAAAGUACAGCUAAAUAUAAUGCAUCUAUGAGGUAGUAUCAAAAGUUGUUUUAGAUAUAUCAACCUAUCGCCAACAAAGUUUUAAUUUUUAAGAAAUAUAUAUAUAUAUAAUUUUUUUAAAAAAAAUCAAAUAUUAUUUAUGUGGUUUCACACUUUUUUACUUUAGUUUCCUAUGAUUUAAAUUGUAUCAAUUUAGUACCAUGUUGUUUCAUUUUUUAUCUCUUUAUUAUUGAUUCCAUUAAUUUUUUUCGUUAAAUUAGUGACAAAGUUAAUACUAAAGGAUACUAAAGUGAAUAUUCGAUAAACUCAGGUAGGGUAUUUGAAGUUUUUUAUAUAUAAUUUAAUAAAAUAUUAACGGAGAAGGUGACGAAGAGAUAAAAAUAAAACCAUAUGACACUAACUUAAUACACUUUAAACUAUAGGAUAUUAAAAUGAGAAAAUGCAAAACGAUAAGGGUCGUAUUUGAAGUUUAUCUAAAAGGCUUUUCCUGUUGUUGUUGUCAUCAUAAUUUUUCUAAUAGAAUAAAUUUUUAAUUUGUUUUUCUAUCGAGUAGUUCCAAAAAAAUUAAUAAUAAAGCAUGAGAGAAUAUCCUAGACAUUUAUAUGAUCUUUUUGUUUCUGCAGAUUUUAGAGGUUGAAUAACUAUUUCAAAAAUGUUGUAAGCAUCAACAUUUAUUUUGGCCGUAAAUUUGCAAAAUUAUUCAAAUUCUCACUCACAAUUAUAUACGGAUUGACCCAGUCGAUAUCGAUGAAUAGAAAUAGAAAAUGAAGUUGAGUUGGCAAAACUCAUAAAUCUCUCGCUCUCGGACUUUUCGUUUCUAAACAGCGACGCAGUACCGACCGUCCCUAGUGCAGGUGACAAAGGAUUUGGUGAUUGAUACCCGCGGUUCCAAGUUUGAAUCCUAGUUGAUUUACAUUUUCAGCUAAGUUUAUUUCUAAAAAAAUAAAUGAAGCGAGUAGCAUGUUAUCUUUCUCUCAGAAAAUAAACGGGGUUGCAGUGUAUUGCGGAACACUUUCAAUAAAGUUGAAAUUUUAGUGGUGUGGUGCAUGAGAUGUACCGAUACACCGGGUGCAGGGAAAAUAGUUUAUCCCAAAUGGGAGACAACAUGUAGCUGAAUCACAGCUGGAUGGUCUUCGGAUCAGAUCUGGAAUGUAUUACGUAUCCAAGUGUGUUUAAAAAAAAAAAUUAAUUAUUUUUUUUUACAUUAAAAAAUAGCCCAAAUAAUUAGUGGGGGAUAAAUGGGCCCCACUCCACGUGGACCCCACGAACCAAUAGAGAACAAGGUCUAAGAUUGGGCGUAGAAAAAAUAGGUGGUCUACGUUUUGGACCGUUGAAAUUGGUCCCCGGGCCCACGAGGCCCGUCUCCGCCGUAGGAUCUCCUUGGCCGAAUCACCGACAAACCCAUUUUCCAUAUUUGCCCUCCAUUUUCUUUAUAAUUACAUUUGUACCCACCCAUCGGCACCGUGCGUAAACGGGAAAUAUGCACCCGGUGUAUCCGUACAGCAAUAUGCACCGUAUCAAAUAUUUGUUCCUUAAUAUAUUAAAAAUAAAAAUAUAAUCACUCCAUAUAAUCUACAAAAUUUUAAAAGAAAUAUUUGUUCCUUAAUAUAUUAUUUUUAUAAUUCAAGGUAGCUAUAUUAUUUUACCCAAAUUAUUAUCAAAGUUUUUUCUAAAUUUUCAAAGUUUGUUUGAACUAUGAAUUUUCCAUGGUUCCAAAUUUAAUAUUAACAAAAUUUUAAUUUUAUUGCUUAUAUCACAAGAUUUUAUGGUGCGGUGCAUGAGGUGUAUGCGUACACCCGGUGCAUGAGUAAUUUCCAUGCACAUUCCAUCCCGACACAGUUUGACGAUUCUACCCCACAUCGCCGGUGCAAUGUCCCCUCUCAAAACGGUAUAUUAUGCCUUAGGCAUAAUUUAAAUUAAAAUGUACCCAUAGUAAACGACAAAAGGAUCCGAUGAUGACGUAAGCCCAGGUCAUCAUUUUUACACGCAUAAAGUGUUCCCGGGGAGCAACGUACCGCAUAAUUGCUCCGCAUAAAACGGGUCCUUUUGUGGAUUACCCGUUUCUCACUCACGGUCACUUCCUCUUCCCUCCCCUUCCGCGCCAUUAUUAAAAAAAUAUUAUAUGUAUAUUUAUUUAAUAAUUAAUAUAUGUUGUUUUUGCGAAAAAUGCAUAGAGACCCGUGAAUUGUAGUUAAUUUUGAAAUGAACCCUCUAUUGUUAGGCAAAUUUAUAAGUUUGAGAAUAUUGAAUUGUAAUAAUUAAACCUUGUAAAUUAUU
RNAcentral lists this long non-coding RNA (72570 nucleotides) under Ananas comosus (pineapple). RNAcentral's name for it is "long non-coding RNA (ACOM_LNC001418)". The record is from RNAcentral. Lineage: Eukaryota; Viridiplantae; Streptophyta; Magnoliopsida; Poales; Bromeliaceae.